This 45638-nucleotide long non-coding RNA is filed under the name Solanum tuberosum (potato). Its description in RNAcentral is "long non-coding RNA (STUB_LNC010307)". The record is from RNAcentral. Lineage: Eukaryota; Viridiplantae; Streptophyta; Magnoliopsida; Solanales; Solanaceae.
UGCAUUCAUGUAUUUUUCUUUCGGUCACGGUCUAUCAAAAACAAUAUCUCUACCUAGAGCUAUGACAACACUCUACCCUUUGUCAAAUCUUGACAUUUUUCUCUAUGUAAGGGACUUAAAAUGGACAUUCCAUUUAAUUGAAGGUUGAGUGAGUUUAAUAAAGCAUAAUGAGAAUCAAAGUUAAAACUUAUUAACUCCUCAGGAAUAAUUUAUGUUUGUUAGCCUGAAAAUUAUUUUGAUAGCAAGAAUAUGGGGUUCAGAAUUUGGCAUUUGGAAAGUUUUGUAAAGAUGCUAACAUGGUCCACAUAGAAAGGCCCAAUAGCCAUUAGAAAUCUAUUUUCUUCUUGCAUUUGCAGAGUCCAUUAGAAAAUUCAAAAUUAAGAGGCACCUCAUUACAUGCAUAUACACCAAUUCUUUCCCUUUCUUAAUUGGAGUAAACAUAUUCAAACAGGUACAGGCUCAGAGCUCAAAAAAGAUAUCAAAUGGAUCAAAGGAAAUCAGAGAAAAUAAACUUCUAACACAAACAUUCAUUACUGCAACUACAAUUUCUGAUUUUAUAAAAUGUCAAAAACCCUGCCUGAAUACUAAAAUAAAGCUCAAUUCCUCAAACGAAGUUGCAUUUCAUAACCUGAGCCCAAAAUUAAGAAGAAUCAUACAAUGGGACACACAACUGGGCGUUCUAAAGAGCUAGGUACUACAAAAAGUGAAGUGGACUAUUACAGUCACUCUCCUGUUUUCCGCAAUUCAGCAGCACCAUGAGCAAAGUGGCACCUGUCUCCAAAUGUGCAAGAUCCUUUAGCAAAAUUCUCACACAACUUUGUCUUGAGGUUGUUCAUUGGAGGAGCCGGGCCACCAGAAUUUCCAUGUGUUCUUCCAGGGCCACCUACAGGACCAAGGCUGUUGAUCAACUCCCUUACCAUGGCACUGGCCUGGGAAAUUUGUUCAAACGUGCCCUCUAACUCUAUGUUUCGGAGAUUUGCAUCUGUUUCAUGAUCACGGAUUGCCAGCUUGGCUCCUGUCUGCCUACAAAUCUGUUUAGAAUUCACUCCACCCUUCCCAAUGAUGGCUCCGGCCAGGGAAGCAUCCACACUGAUCUUUGCAGUGGCUGAUGUACCAAAGCUAGCAGCAGGUCCUGAGAUAGCAGGUUCCCCCCGCCCACCACCAAAACGACCUGGCAUAGAUCCAAACCCCAUUGCACGUGGAUCCUCUUGUGAAGGAAUGGUAUGCUUUCCAAUUUCCCACUCCCCAUGAGCAUAAUUGCAUUUAUCUCCAAAUUUGCAUCCCUCCGCCGUGUUGAAUUUGUUGCAAAGUUUGGUUUUCAUAGAAGGAGCAUUUCCAUUGGAAUUAGGGGGAGCUGCAGCAUUUCUCAAAGAUGGAGCUGGUGUCAAUUUCAUCAUCUGGGUCACUGCACUAUAGCCACCAGGGACGUAAUGAAGGAAAUGGCAGCUCUCACCAAAGGGGCAUCCAGCAGUGCUGCAACCCAAAAAAUAAAAAAAUAAACUUCAAACCAUUCCAAAACCAAAUUUCCCAUCACAAUUAGACAGAAUGGGCAAUGCAGGCACAGCAGAUGAAACCAGAUAAGAGUUCCAGACAAUUGGAUUAUGAUAUUUCAUUUGCAAUACUUUCCCAAACACAACACAAAAAUGCAUUGCACAGCAAUCGAACUUGGGGUCUCACUUUGCAUAAAGGGGAAGUGAACAGGUCUAACAAUUAUGAUUCUGGGAAAACAAUAUAUACAAGCAAGACAGAUACGAAAAGAGUAGGUGUUUAGAGUCCAGAGUCUAGGUUCCAACUUUCAGGAACAGGAAGAGAACCUCUUCACUUUGCUCCACACUAUGCAAUAAACAAAAUAAGAUAUCCACUUGCAGGAAAACAUUGAGUAUGUUGUUGUAUUCUUACCAACACACAACAAUUAAGAAUAAAUGAGAUCAUUAUCAAAAGAAAGACCAGCAUCUCUGUCCAACAAAAUCCCAUCUUUUUGCACAUUCAGCACAAUGGGGACGAGAAAUAUUCAUCAGAAUAAAUGUAUGUACUAUGCAUAAAAGAACCAGAAGAUAUAUUAACAGCUAAAAAUGCAAAAGAGAAAGAACAUUGUUCAGAACACAUAAAUCAAGAAACAAAUCACAGGCACAGCAUCCAUAAAAGGAACUGUCCUUCAGACACAAUAAUUGCAUCCUGGUUAAAGUGCCAAGCUUGACAAGAACUUCCAUUAAUCAUUUAAAUAAUUUUUGCUUGUAAACUAAACAACUAAGCAACCAAGAAGUAAAACCUAAUAAUUUUUUAAACAAGUGAAAAGACAGUAUCAUAUAAACCAUUAUAUUCAUGAGCACCAAAGUGACGGCAAAAUCCCAUGAAGAAAGUUAUUCCCAGAACUACAAAAGAAAACAGGGUACACUGAAGAAGCACAUCAAACAAAAGAAGCAGAAUUGGACCUCACAGGUGCCACUGAGUAUUAUUUUGCAUCUUAAAAGCUUUACCAAUAAUUCAUUUACUAGAAGACCCACUAAACUGGUUUUCAAGAUUAACUUCACUACCAGAGUGAGUAUCAGAAGAAUAUCAUGGGUGACAGUCAUUAAAUGUUAACAAGUAUCCCUACUAGACCAUAAGAGAUAACUUUUAGUAUCAUUAUAGACAUAGUCCAUCUAAUUAAAAGAAAGUGGGUCACAUACCUGUUUCAAAUGUAUAACUGUAAGGCACAGGCAAUUACAGUACAAAUCAGGUAGAGAUUUAAGAAGAUUGUUGGUAUAUUAGAAAUCAUUUUUCAUUUCUCCAAAGUGCAUUGUAGCUGGAAAUAUUAAUCUACACAAAAAUUGUUAACAAACAUUUGCAUAAUCAUUAAACAUCAACAGCAUUUUAACCAUUUAACAGCCUCACAAGCUGACCAGCAUAAAUCUACAUUUGUUCAGUUUGUGUCGCAACAAAAAUAUUAGCAAUUAUAAAUGUUGCACUUGACAUAACUUAAAUUCCAUACUAAAUUAAAGUUCAUUAAGUAGACAAGGAUUUGAACCUGAAGAACUUCGUGCAUGGCUUUGAUUUGCUGCCUACACCACCUGAUAUUGAGUCCAUUUCUGUUGAACCGAAUUAAUUAUUUAUACCAGUUAGAAAUCUUUCUGUUUACAUUUAUUCUAGAUGAAAAUUAGACAGAUAUCAUAUUUCUUAUUUCCAGCACAAACAACUUAAUAUGGUAGAAGUAGAAACUCCAGGAAGUAUGUAACUAUUUAUAAGAGGUUCACCAAAUCUUCUCAAGUCCAUCUUCAGAGAAAAAAUGGUAACUAUAUUGCAUCAAGAAAAUCAGUAUAUUAAUGUUUCCAUCAUAAGUAAGAUGUGCAUAAACGCAUCCAAAUUCUAAAUUUGAUGGGGUCAAUGCUAACACUUUUACAUUUGAACCCAUAACAUAAAUGGCAGAAACAUCCAAGUGUGUAAUUUUGUUGAUGAUGCUCCACAUAUUUAAGAUUUGUUGGGUUCAGCUGAAACGAUGUUUACAUGCUCCAUCACCACUAUGUAGGAGACAUAAAUAUGUCAUUGGACUCCAAAAGGCAAGGAUACAACAACAUACUAAAUAUAAUCCAAGCAGGCGGAGCAUGGGGAUCGUAGAGCGUACACAAACCUUAUUGCGCAGUAACAAGUAACAACAGCAAGAUAAUAAGCUCAGCGAAAUGGAAGAAACAAACAAGUAAUACUAUAGAUUUAGGAAUAAGCAAACAUAUAUAUGAAACUAAUACUUUCGGGGGUUUGGGGGACUUGGGGGCCUACUAACACUCUACCAUGGCAUACUCCACCUCCACACCCUCAUGCCAUGUGUAAUACCCUUAGUAAACUCAAGGUGCAUUAUGCCAUACCAAAUCAACUCUCCCCAAAACUCUUUAAGCCUACUUUUCUCUCUCCUUAGGCCAACCUCAGUCAACCUCUCCUACAUCCUCAUUGGUCCAUCUACACAUCUCCUAUGCACAUGAUACUACAAUGCUUAAACCUUUUAUUCCAUAACAGAACAUGCAUUGAUCUGUUCCUUUGGCACAAAUGAGAUAAACUUCAAAAUCCGCUCUGCAUCUUUCUGAGUACACAGAAGUGGACAGGAAGUGCUCUAAUACAUUCUACUCAUCCUCUCUUAUAUAUUCAAAAAGCUAGAAGAAUUUCACCUCAUAAAACAAGAAUUCGAUUUCUCUUUUUCCCUAUAGAGUAAAUCCUAUUUAUUUUUUUCGUUAAUCAUGGUGUCUAGUCCAGCUUUCGUCCACCUCAACUAAUUCCACGAGAUACCUAUCACCUCACACCAGCACCAGAUAUCAUGUAACUCUGUCCACCAAGACUCAUAUAUGAAAAAACACCUAAUAUAUUUUUCGUCUCCACUGAGUUUCGAACCUGAGAACUUAGGGUUCUAAACCACAUAAAUACUAUGAAAUCUACUAACUUCUUAAUACCAAUAGAAAUUCAAAUGAACACUCCAUAAUCCACACUCCGCACAUAACAUAGCAAAUAAACCACCCCUAAAACUAACACAAAAAACAUCACCGAAGAACUAAACACUAGACACUAAGUGGCAGAGUAAGGAUUUUCACCAAUUGUCUCAAAAUAUAACAAAUUAAACACACAACGAAUCAACAUCUGCUAUACAUACACAAAUAAAAAACAAUUAUAACCAUACAUAAACAGCGUAAUUUUCACCUGGCUUAUAUUUCUUCACACCGCCAUUAACAUUAGCACCAACAUCAUUUCUAGUCCUUUUUCUGAAAUCCAUAGCUUCAAAUUUACCUCACAGAUCAACUAAACCAAAAUCACUAACAAAAAUUUACUUUAAACAACAAAAAAUCAAGAACUAGAAGCAAAAUCGCCGGGCCAAAACCGGUAACCCGAACAGUAAAACUAGGGUUUUUUUUUUGGUGAAGAAAGGGGGGCGGAGUGAGUGUAUAUUAGUUUUUCCGGAUUUGAAUAUUCGGAUUUAAAUUUAGUUAAGAGUGGGAAUUUGGAAUCCGCGCGGGAUUUUCUGAAUUUUUUUUUUGAGCGAAAUCUUAAAUAAGGGAAAGUCACGUGCUGUGAUGUGAGCGUAUACGUAGCACGUGAGUUAUUGGACUUUACUCUUUUAGGGCUUUUUUUCCUUUUUUGGGCUUAUUUGUUGGUUAAUAGCCCAUAAUAAGUAAUAGGCCCAUUAUGAAGUACAAGUUCAAUUAGAUUUUGUGGCUAUUUUAGGAAGUUGGGUAAAUAUAUUCUUUUGGAUAUAAUUUGCACAAAUGUUUAUGUCAAUUGAGAUAAAUUAAGUUCAAUUUAAGAUCAACAAGUUACGACGUAGAAGGCAUAACUUAAUUCCUAUAUAACCUAUGUUUAGUGAGGUUUAAGUUUCAGAUUCCACGAGUUAUGUCGUAAGAGGCAUAACUUGUGUCGAGUGAAAUAGAUACUACACAACUUAUGCCAUAUAAUUUAAUUCUUACGGAACGAGGCAAAAGUUCUCUCAAAAUAUGUGGGCAUAUUGACCCACAUAUUUUCAUUACAUGAGCAAUAUGUACAAAAAAUAAAGACUACCCAGAAAUAGGGGCAAUCCAUUUUAAAACUUGAUGUUCAACUCGUGUUUAAUGUUCGCUUGUAUAUUGUAUUUAAAUGGUAUAUGAAAAAUGAAGUUGGAGGGUUAAAAUGAAACAAAGUUGAGUUGUAGUGCCAAAUGAAAUUAAGAGAAAAAAUAAAGAGUUUGUGUAUGUGUUAGCUUAUUGAUAUCUCCACACCAAUCUAGUAAAUACAUAACACAUCUAUUAUCAUACACUUUGUAUGAAUUAUAAUAGUUAAUUUAUGCAUAUUCUUACUUUAAUUUAUAAUUAAUCAUGACAAAUUAAUUUGUAUAAAUAAUAUCUAUAGGUAUGGUAUAGCAAUAAGUUCAAUGAAAUUAAAAUUAAAAUAAAAAAUCAUGUCAGGAUUAGGGGUGCGCAUCGGUCGGUUCGGUUCGGUUUUAGGUGUUAUUGGUUCGGUUUAUCGGUUUUCGGUUUGUAAAUACGUCAAACCGAUAACCAAACCAAUAACAUAUUUCUUAUCGGUUUUUGGUUAAUCGGUUUAUGGUACUUAACGGUUCGGUUUUCGGUUUAACCAAUAAGAAAAUACUCAUAUAUAUUAUAUACACGAUAAGAAAAUUUUCAAAUAAACCAAUGAUUUUUCCAGCAUUUGGCAUGAAAGUAAUAAUCAUAAAAGUAACAAUCAUUUUUCUUGCAAGUUUAGACACUAGACACAUUCAAAGGAAAAAGUGUGAAAGUAACAAUCGUUUAACCAUUAACAAAAAGUGUGAAAGUAACAAUCGUUUAAUCAUUAACAAUAAGACUAGUAAAUUUAGUAUAGUCUUAUUGGGUUAUCGGUUUAACCAUUAACAAAAAUUAUAAAACCGAAAACCAAAAACCGAACCAAUAACCCAAUAAUUUUUUUUGCAAAACCGUUUAAAAACCAUUAGCCCAAUAACCCAAUAUCAAUAAACCAAUAGUGUUUUUUUCGGUUCGGUUUAUUGGUUAAAUCGGUUUUUGCACACCCCUACUUUCAAUAUAAUAUUUUAAUUUAUUUAAUUGAAGUUGACAUGGACCCCACAAUUAUCUUGCAAUUCCCACUCAAACUUUACAUUCUCUCUCCUUUUGGUUUCAUUUUUCAGCCUUAACUAAUAGUUUGGGCCCCACGAUCCACAUGUCAAAAAAUGGGUGGAGCCUCUUCCAACUUUGGUUGGUUGGGCCUCACCCAUAGUAAAAAUUUUCCCACAUCAGCACUUAAGGGUGUUAAUAUUUCUGUUCAAAAUACUUCAAGGGGGUAAUAAGACCUCCGUAAAGUAUUGGUGUGUAGUUGAGAAUUGCGUAAUAGAUUGAGGGGGUAUUUGGCUGUUUUCUCUAAAAUAAUAUAGAAAUCAUAGCAAGUAACAACAUACGAUGAUAGAUAUCAAAAGAAAAAAACUACAUAAUAAUAAUAAUGAGACUAAUACGAUCAGGAUAGUUGAAUAUACAUGCAAACACAUACACUUUUGCCUCCUUAUUUAUAUUGUAUAAUUUUUUAAUAAACAAGUUCAAUCUCUCGUGUGUAUUUAUAAUAAUCACAAAAUGAAAACGCAAUUUAAAUGACAGAUAUUUCAAAAACUUAAGUGUGAACUUCAAAUCGAAUCUAAAAUUCUGGAAAUUUGUUUCCAAACAUAACUUCAGUAUUAAUAAAUUAAUUUAAAAACUUAUAAGAAGUCAAAAUAUAAAUGAUUAGAAUAAUUUAAAAUUUGAAUUUCAAUCAGUUACAGAUAGGUGGCCACAAAUUUCCUUAGUUGCAACAAAUACAAAAUUUGAAUUUCAAAAAUAUAAAACAUGGCAUUUCCCUCUAAAAUCCUACUUAUAUCAAUCCAACUCAUCAUAUAUUUAUUAAAUUCCUAAAAAGCCAUCAACAACAUUUUUUGUCCUUUUGUUUAAACAUGGCUAGUUAGUUCAUACAAUAAAGUUUCAAUAAAAUAAAAUAGGUUGACAAUAAAACCCAAAUUGAAAAGUGGAUUUAGAACUUUAAGGACUCAUUUGAUAGGAAAGAUAAGGUACAAUUAAUUUUAGGAUGAUUUUAAUUCAUGUUAGAUUGGAAUAGAAUCAUGAGAUAAUUUAUAAUUUGAUUGUAGUGUUUUUUUUAAUUCACAUUAAGGGUGAAAUAAAUUGUUUGUCCUCCUCUCCCCUUCGUUUCUCUCUCCUCUCCGGCAAGAGGUUGUUGUCUCCGGCUAAAAAAGCUUUAAAACAUAUGUAUAUUUUAUCAGAUACAUAGUUUAACCACCGUCACUCAUCCUCUCCUCUCUGGCCAAAAACCAUCGUCUUCGAUAAAAACUCUAGCAAAGGGGCAUUCUGUCGGACCGUUUCUCCUCCUCUCCCCUUCAUCUCUCUCUCUCCUCUUCUAUCAAAGACCAUCGUCUCUAGCAAAAACUCCAAUGAAGACGCAUUUUUGUCUGUUAUAGCGUUGACGAACUGAAACUUACUGGCCUUGACUGUUGCUCCCGUAAGAAUCCUUUGAGUCAAAACGUGGGGAGAGGAGAUGGAUUAAAAGAGAGAGAGCGGACCAAUUUGGACUGAAUGAAUAAAUUAAGAAGAUAAUUAAGUGAGUAGAACUUUAUUUUAGAGAAAUAACUAUGUGGGUAAAACUUCAUUUUAUGUUUUUUUCAAGGACAAAUAUAUUGAGAUAUAUCUUACUCCAAAUUUGGUACAUAAUUAAUAAAUAGUGGAAUAAUAGGUAAUUAUUUAAAUGUAUAGAUUGAAUUAAUAUAAUACCAUAUAUGGUAUGAAUUUAUGUGCAAUUAUAUAUUUUUCCUUAAAUUAAUAGUACUAUUUAAUGAUGAUUUGAUUUGGGGUAAUUUAGUCAUUAGACUCCCCAAAUAAUCCAAAAAACCCAUUCACCACUGCCAGCUCAGUUCAGCUGAAUCUCCGCUCCAUAGCAGCCCUUAAACCCUCUUUCUUCUUCAAGAUCCAGCUAUAUAAACCCUCACUUUCUCUGUUCAUCACUCAUCCAAAUCCAAAUCGGAGAAUUGGGUUUUGUUCUUAAUCCCUUUUACUGAAUUGGGUCUUCUUCAAACAGAAAGAAACAUGAAAGCUUCAAUCAAGUUUCGUGAUGAACAAAAACCAUUAAUCAGAGCUAAAGUUCCUCUGAGCGUGUUGAACUUUCCGUUCCAAUCAGGAAUCGUUGCCGGUGAAUCGAAGGAGUUAUCGCUGAGUCUAGGAACUUUGUUCGAUUCUGGGCCUUCGUUCAAAGUUGCUUAUCGGCCGAAUGAUUCGUUCAAUCCGUUUAGUUUUGUGUUCAAAACUGGGAUUGGGCAUUUUGGGUCUCCGGUAUCUAGUCCGUUUACCAUGAGUGCUGAGUUUAAUUUGGUUGGGAAUCAAAACCCUAGCUUCUUCAUUCAUUUCAAACCUCAAUUUGGGGAUUUUUGUGUGAAGAAAUCACACUCCUCUUCGGCUCUUACGAAGAGUUUGAACUCGAAAUCGAAUGGGAUUGAUCCGAUUCAAAACGGUUUCGAGACUCCGGUGAUGAAAACCGAUUAUUUCCAAGAGAAAGCAGCGUUUCUCGGCAGCAAAGUCGGGGUUUUCCCGGAGGAAUCUGCCGUCGCCGGAGCUGUGGAAAACUUGUUCUCCGGCGCGGUUGUCAGUGCCCGUACUUCGUUACCUGUGAGAAACCGUGCUGUGGUGAAUUUCCGAUGGGGUCUCAGGUUUCCUAUAGUUCCUGCAGUGGAGGAUCCGGAUACUGUUAUCCUAGGGAACACCAACUUCCCAUCGCCGGCGGGCAUUUCGUUCCCUCACUGUCCACUGCUGGUGAUGAAUAAGAUCGGUAUCGAAUAUAUAGCGAAAGAUGAUUCGAAGAAAGCUAACAAUUUGCCCAGAAAUGCUGAUUUGACACAAGCUUGUUUGGAUGUGAAGCAGCAGCUGGAGACCAUACAAGCUGAAAAUGGAUUGUUGAGAAAUGCUUUGAAUGAUUUAAGAUCUGAAAUUGCUUCAAAAAAGUUCAACUUUCCGACGAAUGAAUUCAAUAGCCGGAGUAACAGAGAUGCAGAAAACACCAAGGCUAAAUACUCCGGUGAUCGGAGGAGCAAUGGGAAAUCAACAGAAGGGGACGUCAAUGUCAAUGAGGACUCGAAGAAGGCUUAAACUAGUCGACAUUGCUUCGUGCUUAAAGGUUUCGAUUAUUUCAGAAUCGUUCUUAUUUCGAUCGAAUUAUGUCGUUCAAUUUUUUUUGUUGUUUAUGGUGGAUAGAGUAAUGUUUGAUAUUUGUUUAAAGAGUUUUUGAGGGGUUUAAGGUGAAGUAACAAUAGAAAACAUCUUGUUUUGAUAAGAUCUUUAUAGUAUAAUAUGGAGGGAAAAUUAUGGUUUAAAAUGUACUUAUUGCUAUGUUUACAAGUUCAAUUGUUGGAUUAUUAUAAUUUCGUUUAUCAUGAGUUGCGUACACACCACCUUCCCCGACUUCACUUGUGGGAUUACAGUGGUAGUCUGGGGUUUUGCUCUGAUGGUUAAAGCACCAUAUGUGAUGUCUAGGUAAGCUAGCUCGAGGCAUGCCCUUUCCAUUGUUUCAUAAGUCCGGGGCGUUGUUCUAAUGGUUAGUUUAUCUUCCUUGUCUCAUGGCUUUAGUCUAUUGAGAGCGGUCAGAUAACUAGUGGCAAACGAGCGGGUCGAGUCGAAUAUAAGCUGAUCGAAAAGGAGUUAAACAAUGAUAUGGAUCUGACUCAUACACAUAUCAUGAGUUCAAACUCUAGUAAGGUAAUGGGUUAUUCAUUGAAAUUUGAAUUGUAGCACGGACCCUCGGACCGGUCGAGUCAAAUAAGAGGCAAUCGAAAACGAGUUAAACAAUGAUAUGGAUCUGACUCAUGUGCAUAUCAUGAGUUCAAACUCCGGUAAGGUAAAGGGCUAUUCAUUGAAAUUUGAAUCGUAGUACGGACCCUCAAACGGGUCUAGAUGAAUAUGACCCGAUCGAAAACGAGUUAAACAAUGAUAUGGGUCUAACUCAUACGCAUAUUAUGAGUUCAAACUCUGCUAAGGUAAAGGAUUAUUCAUUGAAAUUUGAAUCGUAGUACUGACCCUCGUGGAUUUCUCAGUUAUUAAUUAUGCUAAGGUUAGUAAUAAUUUCUAAGAUAACUCAAAAACUUGAUAUUUAAGUGGAGAAGCAUAGAAUAACGGAGCCCGUUAAUGAGGCCCAAUAUGCGUAUCCAACUUAUCAAUUGAGUUGGAUUAUCAGUUAUGGACAUUGAUCAAUGGGUCUAGUCAAUAUGUACAAAACUGGGCAAUCUAAAAUUGCACUUUCAGUCGAUUUUGGAAUCACUAUUUAAGUCAUAUUUUUCGUAUAUGAAAAUUUUAUAAAUUUAGCCAUUUUGAGAUAAUUUCAGACAUAUGAUUUUAAAGUUGCAAAAGUCUUGUCUGAUACGAGGAGGUCACAUAAUUGUUUUUGAGGCACUAUUGAUCUUAGAUAAGAAUUUAUAAAUUUUACUUUGAAAAACAUCAUUUAUAUGAUAGAAUUAUUACAUAUUAUCCAAAAAUGACAAGAUCUUUUGGAAAUCUAAUUAUACACGGAUAAAAAUAGUUUUCUUAUAAACAAAGAUUAAAAAAAUGAAUGUUUCAUAAAAUUGCAUGCUUUGACUUGCCUUUUUAAGUAUAUACAAAUUGGCCAACGACUUGAAAAUUUUAUACUUUAAUUGUCCUUUCAACAAUUUAGAAGGCAAAAAUUAGCAAUAUAUUGUUCAUACAAGAUAUUUGAUUGGUUUUUUCUCAUUUACAUGUUACGUCAAGAAAUAAAAUCUAUAAUCUGAAGCGUGCGUUCAAAAUGAAUAUAAUUUUAUUUUAUAUAUUUAUAAAAUUAUAUUGUGCACACACAUAUGCAAACCUUUUCUUUUGGUAAGUAUAAAUUUUGUUGGAUUUGACAAAUUUGAUCAAACAACGGGAAGGUCGUGCAAUUUUAUAUGUAUAAAUCAUAUUUGACUUUAAUAUUUUCCAUUACUAUAUUCUUAACAAUUUAUUCUUAGACAUAUAAAGUUAGACCAUUCAUAUUGAUCUUCAUUAAAGAAAUAUCCUCCAAAUUUUAACUAUAAUUACAUACCUUUAUGGGGUAGAGAGAGUUUUCGAUAGACUCUUUGAUUAAGAAAAAUGUUUACAAGAGUUUUGAAAAAAAAAAGUGCAAUAGUAAAGAAAAAGUUAUGAUGAAAAUAUCGAAUACAGAAAUGUAUUGAUAUCAAAAAUAGUAAAUAUAACCAAUGUAAAAAUAAUAACAUUAGAAAUAAAAUUGAAGAAUAAGGUAUGACUAGCAUAAUAGUAAUAAUAUUGGUAAGAGAUCGAGCAGAUAAGUAGUCUAGGCUAAAACCAAGCUCUACCAUUAAGAAGCGAGAAAUCGCUCAUCUACAUAAAUAUCUAUCAUAAUCCUCGACUUUCAGGCUCUUUUAUCUAAAAUUACGUCCUUGAUAAGGAAUCUUCCCGACCAAUAACCAGAUAAAUAAUGAUUAAUGAGAUGCUAUAAUUAGAGGAACUUCAAAAGGCUUCAUGCUUAUAAUAUUUAAAUAUAAUACUAUAUAUUAUAAUGUUCUGAUUUGAUUUUAUUUAUUUAUAAAAAGAAAAACAAAUCUUUGAAUAUUCAAUAAUGUCCAAAAGCCUUGUGAAAGAAUCUGCUGUCACCUUCACAUGCUGAUUUUUACAAAGAGAUUUAAACUAAUUUUAGGCUCAAUUUAUUUUGUACCAAUUACAUGGUAUAUGACUUUUGCAUAUGCUUGAUGUAGACCUAUAACAAUUCACAUAUUUUCUUCGGUCCAUUUUAAUUGUCGUGCUUACUGAAAAUAACUGGUCCAAAAUAUAAUAUGAAGAAGGAAUAUUGAGGUGGGAAUGUUUCUAAUGAUAGAAAAAUAAACAAUAAAAAUAGGAAUGAUUAGAGAAUCAAAUUAGAUCUUAUUUUCUAUAACAAGUACAUGAACUAUGAAAUAUAAAAUUAGGUUGGAACAUAGUCUAGCUCAUUCAAGAUUCCCAUUUUUAAUUUGUUUAUUAGUACAACAAAUGUCAUUAUAGGUCUCUAGAUGCAUUGGACCAACGAUAACGUUAUCUGUAUGUGAUCUAUAGGUCACAAGUUCGAGAUGCUUGAUCUAUAGGUCACAUGUUCGAGCUGUGGAAUCAACAACUGGUUCUUGAUCUAUAGGUCACAGGUUCGAGCUGUGGAAUCAACUGAUGCUUGAUCCAUAGGUCACAGGUUCGAACUGUGGAAUCAACAACUGAUGCUUGAUCUAUAGGUCACAUGUUCGAGCUGUGGAAUGUUUGAAGUAACAUUUCACCUAUGGUUUACCAAGUUGGCAUUUGUUUUCUUCUAUUACUAAAUAAUAAUGUUCUGGCUUUGGUUUUGUCAAACAGAUUGUUUAUUAGUCCUUAUCAGUAUUAUACAUUACAGAAUAAUCAAUAAAGCUGGCAUUUUUCGAGUCGUUGACAUAUUGUAUAUCUUGUUUUUAAAGACAUCUAGAUGUAUAAAAAUUUGAAAAUAUGUAUUCAGGAGCUGUCAAUCUGAAAUAUAAUACUGCUGCAUUUUGAGUUUACUGAAUAUUCAUACUCGUUUUCUUGAUUCCGCGUCUCCUGUUAACCUUAUCGGAUUCAUUGAGACACAAAAAUUUCAAUUGAAAUACCCCUUUGAAUCUUGAAAAGUUCAAGAAAAUCCAUAUUUGGUUCUUGAUCAUAAUGAGUAUCCAGGGGUUUAUUAGUACUCAGGGGAAUGAGUACUUUUCGAGUGAUUAUAGUUUAGGAGUUUCGAAAAAUUCAGCUCAGGAUUUAGUUGAUCAAGAGUUACAAUAUUCAUCAUACAUGGAAACUUGUUUGCCUGUUGUUAGUUCAUCUUCAAGUAGCAUAAUCAACUGUAUUGGUUCCCCUUCUUCAGCGUUUUUCGCUACAGAACGUUGCCUCGGGUUGACACAAUAUGAUAAUCAAUAUGAUACUUCUGAAUUGAUCAAGAAUUGUGAUGUUCAAAUGUCAUCAUUUGAUCCUCAACAAUGUAAAAAUGGAAUCUUGGAAGAUUCAUUAGCAAAAGGUGAAGCAGAUUUUCGACACGAGAUUUCUCUGCCAUCAUUCAUCAGGACAGAAUUCUCAACUAGUCCAUUUUCUGAUGUAUCAGAAUCAGAGAAAGAGAGUUUGUUGCAUCUGAAAAAUGAGUUGCUGGGCGAGUUUGAUACUUCAUAUCAAAGGCACCCUUUGUUGCCUUUUGAUGGAAAUCAAGAUUAUUGUGUGAGUACUUCAAAAAAGUCUUAUGCUUUAUCUCAAUAUACAGUCAAACCUCUCUAUAACAACGUAAUUUCUUCUGAUAUGUUUUGGCUGCUAUAGAAACAUGUUGUUAUAAAGAAGAUAUAAUAAGAUUGGUUCCACAGAAAACGUGGUUUUUAUAGUGAAAUGUUGUUAUAGAGGAUGACUGUUAUAGAGAUGUCUGACUGUAUACGAUUAUGAGUCUUCGUAUAGUUGUCCCACAACUCUCUCUUGGUUUGUGUUGCUCUCGAUUGGCAAAUAUGAGGCAACAAUCCGCGAGUCUUUCACUUACUUUGUCAUAACAUAAUAUGAAAUAUUGGUUCUUGUGAAAACAUGAUUGUUAUAGAGAUGUCUGACUGCGUACUAUUCUGAGUCUUCUUAUAUUUGUCCUACAGCUAUCUCAUGAUUUGUGUUGCUCUCAAUUGGCAAAUACGAGGCAGCAAUUCGCGAGUCCUUCAUUUACUUGUCAUAACUUUGCAUCUUCUGGAGUAUCUCAUAAGCCUAGUAAGACAAGAAUCAGAUGGAAUGAAGAUCUCCACGAUCGAUUUCUUGAGUGUGUAAAUCGCCUUGGAGGAGCUGACAGUAAGUAAAUUCCAAACUAUCUUUCUUCCUCUAAAAUCGAUUGUUUUGCUGUUGACUGUCAUUACAUUCGUCUUUCAGAGGCUACGCCGAAGCAAAUACUAAAUCUGAUGGACUCAGAUUGCUUAACUCUUGAUCAUGUUAAAAGCCAUUUACAGGUACUUAUUCCACAAGUGCAUUUCAGAUUACUAGAUGAAAUGUUCUCUCCUUGUAUAACUAUUUCCCUUUUUUCAGAAAUAUCGGAGUGCAAAGCAUCAAGAAUCUGCAGGGAAAUCCGAAAAGAGAAACAGCCCGGAUGCUAUGACAGAUAUAGAGAGCAAAACGUAUACUGUCUUGUUUUCCUUUUUAGUUCGUUUCAAAAAGAAUGUUCCUUUCCUUUUUCGACAACUCUUUAGUGUCAACUUUUCACAUAACAUGUACCACAGGAUUAAAAGACUUUUUCGUACAUUGUUCCUAUGUUUAGUUUAAGAUACACAAGAUCCAAAAGUAUUCUUUUUUUUCUUAAACUCUGUGUCAAGUCAAAACUAGACAAUCAAGUUGAAACGUAGGAAGUUUACUCUUUACUCAAUACUUUAGUUGAUGUCCAACUUGUUUGCAGUGGAAGAGAAAUCAAGGAAGCACUGAAAAUGCAACUAGAAGUACAAAGGUGUCUUCAUGAGCAACUAGAGGUAUGUCAUUUCUAACAUACUUAACUAAACAUUGUACUUUGCUAGAACAAAAUAACAUGUCCAACCAGUCUUUCGGAAUCAUGUUCUCCUCAUUUUGUUAUAUAGACACAACGAACGUUACAAAUGAGGAUCGAAGAACAAGCAAAGAAGUUGAAGAUGAUACUUGAUCAACAACAAAAGACAAACAUGACUCUGUUGGAGACGCGGAAUUCAAACAUUUCAUCUUCUGGUGUAGAAAUUUUGGUUGUAGAAGACACUGAUAAUUAGCUUGUCAAGCAACUUGUAACAAAUGUAAAAUACAGUAUGAAGUUAUGCUGAAAAUUAGGUUGUUUAUUAUCAAACUAGUCUAUGUCAAUGAUUAUGUUGACUGCAUAGGUAAAAAUGUAAUGUAAUGAAAUGAAAUGAUUCAUAUAAGGUCCCAAGUAUUCAAUUGACUCAUGGGGUGAAGGAUUACAGAUUGCUCUUUCACCUCGAGACAACACCCUUGUUGUAGUCUAGGUUGCCUGACCUGACUACAACAUUGGGUCGAAUAAUGCAAGGUUGACUAUUUUGAUAGUAGUUCAAUAUUUACCAAAGUAUGCACACCCCUAUUAUCACGGAUUAACGAGUUGAGUCAAGCGUAAACUGGACCUGGAUUAAACUCAUGAGGCGAAGGAUUACAGACUAUCUCACUCACUCACCUCAAGACAACACCCUUGUUGCAGUCUAGGUUGCCCGACCUGACUACAACAUUGGGUUGAAUAAUGCAAGGUUGACUAUUUCGGUGGUUGUUUGAUAUUUACCAAAGUAUGCACACCCCUAUUAUCUCGGAUCAACGAGUUGGGCCAAGCGUAAACUGGACCGGGUUUAACCGCGAUUUCAUUGUUGGGCCUAUUAAUAGGCCCAAUUACUAAAUUGGGCUUAGUAAUAGGCCCAUAUCAACCAACUUACUCAAGUAUCUGCCUUUUGACAGGACCAAGUCAUCAAGCUUAGCAGUAACCAACUCAACAUGUGGGACCCAUGGACAUGUGUGAAGCAGACAGCCCAACAAAGAGAAGGGCUUUUUAGUCAUUUCCUUGUAGAAUUUAAUAAUUUAGCCAUAGUACAUACUAAUUGGGUUCUAAAAGGAUUCAAAUAUGUAAAGACUAUUUAUUGCUAAUAUUUAAAGACAAAAGUACCCUUUGAUUUCAUGAUAGUUUUUAUAAAUAAAAUUAAUAAGAUAAUCAUGAGAAGUGAAAUUAUGAUAAGGUUAAACAUAAGGUUAAAAAUCAUUAUUCUCCUUAUUUUUGGAAAUACUUUUCGUUAUUCAACUCAUCCAAAUUGUAUUUUGUUGCUUAUUGUUCAUGAUAUGACACAUAAUUGAUUUCCCACCCGGUGUCUGCUUAUCCAUAUUGAAACCCGAUUAAAUUUAAAUUUAUCUCGAAAAGUUCCAUAAAUACUACAAAUUGUUUUUUCUUAAAAUAAAAAUAAUACAUAACAUCUAUUAAAUAUCAAUUAAUCAAUCUAUGUUAAUUUGGUUUAUGUAUGAAGAACUUCACUAAAAAUCGUGAGGAUUGAGGAUAUUGAUAAAACACCACCUCAGAAAUUCACAUAACACAACUCUAACGAUUACUAAUUAAGUUGAUACAAAUUUACGUGAACUCAUUAAUUUUUGUUCAUAUACGUAUAUAAUUCACUAAAUAUUUACAUAUUUUGAACUGCAAACCCCGUUAUUAUUAUAAUAUUAAUUUAAAGUCCUUAUCAAAACUUAUAAACUUUAAUUCAACCCUAUAAAUUCAAUCUUUCCCCAUUUAAAAUAUAUUUUUCUUCUUUUCUUUUUCUAAUAACUCUCAAUUCCCACACUCCCUUUCCUUUUCUUUUCUUUUUUUCACAUAUAUAAAUAUUUUUACCCUAAAUUUGCCAAAAAUAGCCCAUUGAGAUAAAUAAAUUAUCUCUUCAACAAUUUCUACAACUACUACUACUACUACUAUUUGUCCCAUUUUUCUUCACUUUUUUUCAUUUGUGUAGUCUUCUUUGGCUUUGCCUCUCUGCCUUUAGCUUAUUAUCACACCUCUCAACUCUCUAAUGGCAAAGAUUCAUAUUCCUCAAAACUUCACUCACAUGUUAAAGUUUUCAUUUUGAUCUGUUUUCUCCCUAUAUUUUUCAUUCUUGUCAAAAAAAUUCUUCUUUCAUUUCAUCACUUAUAAAAAUAAUAUUUAGCUUCUCUACUUUCAUCACUUUUCAACCCAUCAGAGUCUUGAGAUUUCCUUUUGUUUGGAUUGGUUUUAUGAGAUUUUAAGAAAUGGGGUUUUGCUUAAAGAUGCAAAAUGGUGGAUGAUUCUUGAAAAGUUUGAUUUUUUUUGGGUAUGUUUCUCUUGGCUUUAAUUUCAAAAACAUCAUUAAACUGAUGUUUGAUGAUAGAUUCUUUGUGGGUUUUUUGAAAAGAUUGAAUCUUUAUGAUUUAUUGUACUGAAAAGUUUCAUUUUUAAAUUUUUUGUCAUCCUGUUUGAGUUUGAAUGUAAAAAAGGGUACUGUAUGUUUUUAUCUUGUGUUGUUGAUGUUCUUGAUUUGCUUUUUAUAGAUAUGGAUGAGGUUAUGUUGUAUUUUUGUUGUACUGAAAAGUUACAUUAGAUUUUUUGUCAUCCUGUUUGAGUUUGAAUGUAAAAAGCUACUGUGUGUUUCUGUCUUGUGUUGUUGAUGUUCUUGAUUUGAUUUUUAUAGAUAUGGCUGAAAGUAUCUGUGUUUAUUGCUGUCUGAUGAAUGUUGGAUAUGGGAAAGUUGUGUUUUGAACUAAUCUUUAAGAAAAAAAAAUUCUUUUUUGUUGUUGCAUAUUUUGUCCUGAACCUUCUAAAGCCCACUGGAUUUAGUUUGUUUAAGCUCUGGUAUUUGCAUAGUUUAUGACUGAUUCGUGUUUCAUUUGAAUCCUUUUCUGUAUUUCUUGUCCUGGUAUGAAUUAUAGUCAAGUUGGAAGUCAUAAGUUUGUUUGUUUGUGAAGAAAAGUUCUUAAAUUUUUGUUUGUAUUUAUUUGAUAUCAGUUUUGAGUUCUGAGGAUAGACAUCAAUCAAAGAUAACAUUUUUAUAUCUACUGUUCAUGUUGAUAUUUGAUCCUUAAAAUUGUGAGGCUCUGUCUAACUCUAAUCUGCUGUUUUCACAUCAUUUAUAGGAUUUUUUCAAUUUUUUUGGAGUGUCACAUACUAGUUUAAGGCUUCUGAGAUUUGGAUUUAUUGAAGUUGUCACCAGCAGAAUUUCGAGCUUUGUACAAUGGGUAGAGGAAGAGGAAAGGGAAAGAAGCAAUCUGUUCGUGAGGAUCUCGGAAGUGGUGAAGAAGAUAAGAUACCAAUCCGGAGAAGAGGAAGACCACUGAAGCCAUCAAAGGAUGAAAUAGGGGAAGAAGAAGAAGAAGAAGCAAUGAAAGUAAAAGAAGAAGAAGAUGGCAGUGAGAAUACAAAAGGUUCUGUCUUUAAUAAAGAUGUCAAGAACCAAGCUGUUGUGAAUGGAAAGAAGAGGAAGAGAACUUCACAAGUUAAGGAAGUAGAUUCAACGAAAGUGGAAAAUGGUGUUGGGAACAAAACUAACUCUAAUGAGUUAAUAAAGUCGGUUGGAUUUAGACAAAACGGGAGUAGAAGGAAAAACAAGCCUAGGCGAGCUGCUGAAGUUGGCGUUGAAUGCAGAUGAACAGCUCUCUUUGCUAUUGAGGACUGAUUCUAUACUGAUCUAUAUCUGCUUUUCAUUUUGCCCCUUGUUAAUGUUUCUUGUUUUUUUUGAAAUUUAGCUAAAACUUUCUGAAGAACUGAAUUUUGUUCAAAUUCUAGUAGACUUCAAUGUGCUGCUGCUGCUAAUCACUUAGCAGGUUCCCUUGUUUUGCAUAUGUCAUGGAAAACUAAGCAAUAUUUUCCCGUGUACUCUAAUCCUUGUCGCCUUUGCUUUUAUAUGUAUGAUGCCCUUCUUUGGUUUUGAAUCUGUAUUAUGUUUUCUUUGAGAUGUAUUAAUCGAAUGACAAAUACUUUAGAAACAUGACUUAGCUCUUGUUUAGUUACUUCAACUGUCAACGGAACAACUCCUACUGACCGGCUAAGAUGGUGAGUGAAGCUACAUGAAGGCUCAAUGUUGCUCUGCUGAAUGGAGGGAACAUGCUCAUUGGAGGUUAGAUUCAGUAUCAUACUCUCAUUUGCUUUGUUUUGACUGAUUUAAUCCUUUGACACUUCUAAUUAUUCGUGUAAAACGGUCUAACAUGAUAUUGUGCUAGUGAAAUGUGGAUGUUGCUUUAUACUUCUGAAAUCUGUCAAUUAAGGAUUUUGAUUUGGUUUACACCUUACAUGAAAGCACUUGAACUUGUGGAUUUAAAGUUCUUCUCAGUAUAUGUACAGUCAAAAUCGUUUAGAGGGACGAAUAUUUGUGAGACAAGUGAUAUCAUGUUGAUCUUACUCUCUUUGAAAUAUGGCUCCUUUCUGCAUUUAGACAUUUCACAUCUUGCCUUCUUUAGUGUUUAUCACUCGUCUUUGUUUCUCAGCUCAUCGGAUAUGACAUGUGAUAUCGUGUUAUUUCUGUUAUUUUUUGUGUGGUGAUUUUGCAUAACUGGAAAAAGGUAGUCUGAAGACACAAUGCAUCUUGCUUCUUACAUGUUCAAUAGUACUAUUUUGAUUUUUUCUGGGAAAUAUGAAAUUUCUGAAGGAAACUGGUCCUUGUGUACUUAAGAAGAAGCCAAAGGGGAUUUAAUAAGUUGGGCCUGUUUAUGUUGCCUCCUUGUACCAUUUUUUUGCAGUUGUGUUGAGAGUCUGUCGGAAACAGUCUCUCCACCUCUACUUCCCACUUGUAGCGGGAUUACCCCACGAAGUAGCUAUAGGGAUAAGGUUUUCAAGAUGAUUAAGAUGUUCUCAUUACACAUAGUUGGUUUAAUACCAAAGAAUGUAUGCAAACUCACCAAUAAAGACACUCAUUGGUGAACAAACUAUUAACAACCAUGUCUUUUUCACCAAUCUUGAGAGAUGGGAGAUACCUUUAUCUCUCAAAAUAAAAAAAUUUGAAACGAAUUCGAAUUAGUGGAGCCUCAAAACAUUCUGGUACUAGAGAUAAUGAAAUUCAAGUCCAAAAGUAGGUAGGUAUUGCCAUCAAAUACGAAAAAAGGGCAGCACGGUGCACGAAACAACAGGGGUAUGAUGUAGAUAGUCAACUAGACACAAAUAUCAAUAAUUGAUUUCACAACUUGAAUCCAUAAUGCAUAAAUAGCAGAGACAAUUUUAGUGCUGCUUCAUACUACAGGAACAUCAAAGUGGGAAACAAAAUAAAUUUUAAAAAAGUUGUCUUUAAGUAGAUGUGACCUUUCAUUAAAAGAAAGUCACGUUUUUUUAAUGACACAAUUUCUUCAAAGAUAUAAUAUUGUCAAAUUAGUAGUUUAAAUAAGUUUCAUUAACAGUAAAAUAUUGAAGAUUCUUUUGUUUGUUCAAAAAAGAUAUUUAGAACAUAAUCUGAAAGAUUUUUGGAAACAAUCUUUCUCUCUACUUUCACGAGGUAGUGGUAAGAUCUGCAUACAUUCUACCUUCCUCAAAUCCCAUUUGUGAAAUUUCGCUGGAUAUGUUAUUGUUGUAAUCCGAAAGGUUUGUAAGUUGCAAAAAUAAAAUAGAGAUAGGGAUCAUAUACUAUUGAAUUUAAGAUUAUUCCAAAGGAACAAAUGCCUUUUCUUUUGUUUGUGUGAAAACAUUCAAUCUUGUUUGUCUAAAAGGUAACAAUAUUACAGACAAGGAUAUAAUUCCUUGGUUGGGAUAAUGGAUAAUAGAAGUAAAUCUAUUGAUUCUUUAUGUCCAUAAAGGUCUACCAAAUUGAAUACUAUAGCGAAGGAUGGUCCGUUAAACACAAACUUUUUAUUGGAUAUUUAUACUCUGUAUAUAAAAAUAUAAGUUAAUGAACGUCCUUAGUGAAUUUUCUAACUUCGCCGAGUUAAUAUCUCAAAAGGUCACUCAAUUUUGAAAAUUUAUCUGGCAAAGUCAUUGAACUUUGUUUUGUAUCAAUAAAAUCACUCAACUUACACUUUUAUAUCAAAAAAAUCACUCAACUUAAACUUCUAUAUCAAUAAAAUCUCUUAACUAAAUUUAUCAUUGAAUUAUUUUUGGUAUCACAGAAUAGUAUUUUUUUUUUUAUGCCAAGUAUACAUUAAUGGAGUUUAAUUAUUAUGCAUUUAAUCAAGCAAAAAAUAAAGGUCUCCUGGGUUGGAUAUAUAUCACGGGUAAAGUGUUGAUUUAGUGUGUUAAUCCUAUUAAAUUAUGCGAAUACAUUAAUAAUUAUGAUUGUCACGUCUCAUUUGCAUGAGUGGAAGUUUUGUAAUUAAACUUCAUUAAUAAAUGUAUAGCGCGUUGUAUAAUUUGUUUAUUAAACUUCUCAAUACUCACUGCUAGGUUAGUUUUAAGACUUUAAAUUAUAACCAACAAAUAAGGGCUCCUGGGUGGGAUAUAUCACGGGUAAAAUGUUGGUUUAGUGUGUUAAUCCAAUUAAAUUAAUAAUUAAGGCUGUCACGUCAUAUAUAUAUAUAUAUAUAUAUAUAUAUAGCAUAAAACUAAUUUAUUUUAUUAUAUCAAAACAAUUUUAAUGAUAAAUUUAGUUAAAUGAUUUUAUUGAUACAAAAGUUAAAGUUGAGUGAUUUUAUUGAUACAAAAUAAAGUUUAAUGACUUUAUUAGAUAAAUUCUCAAAAUUGGGUGACCUUUUAAGAAAUUAACUCAACUUCGCCACCAUGGUCUAUAUUUUGUUUCUAUGAACAUGUGAAUCUUCAUUGAAUUUGAUACAAGAAAAUGGAACAAGAUGUUGGAUAUUGUCCCAUGGGUAAUAUGGUUUUCCACAAAAUGACGUUCCUUGACUUUUAAGUUUUUGAUUCCAAAUGGAUGGCUCUUAUAAUGGUGAUAAAUAACAUAGUGCAUAUAACAUGUUAACAGAUAUGAAGCUAGAAUUUUGAUUUAUGAGUUUCGAAUUCUAAAAAGGAUCUUUUAAAGACGAGAUCACAAAUACAAAAUUUGAGUCAAAGCUACUGAGCUCUAUUGAACCCAUAAAUAGAAUUGUAGCUCUGCCAGUGUCAAAGAGUUUUUAGCUGCUAAGCAACAAUCAAUCACCAAUUCUAUGAAAUACUGUUCUUUAAUUUACCCAGCAAGGUAUUCUGCAUCUCUUAUUUGUAUACAGGAACCCAGACAAAGCAAAUAACAACAGUUUAAUCCUCAGCUAAAGUUCGGAACCUAGUAAGACGAACGAAGAAAAAGGGGAAACUGGGAACUAUAAAUAUUUUGACUUCCAUAUUAGUACAAGACAGUUUCAAUUUCGAAAAAAAAAGUAACACGGUUUGGUUAUAAACUGCACAAGAGUUCUAGAGGGUAACUUGUCUGUAAGCUGCAUGGCCAAAUAUCGCGAUACCAUCAAACUCUUGGCUGCUUUCAACACCAACAAAAAUGGUAGGGAGGAACCUGUGGCGGAUGAAACUGAAAUCUACAACGGAAGGGGAGAAUUACCAAUACCAUCCUUACUACAUUUGCUGAAACAUCGUGCAGAACAUUAUUCGCCUUGAAGACAGUAUAGUUGCCGUAUAUUUCCUGAAGCUGUCAAAUAUUGGCAGAACAGGGGUUGAGAACAAAAGGUUCAAGCAGAAAUAUCAAGAAAUGAGAUAUAAACUGUCACCAUUACCAUAUAACCAGUCUUUAAAGCACACAUGGAGAGCAGUUGCUACUUCCCGCUUCCGGCUCUCAUCAAGGUCGAUGUCCUUCAAACUAUUCUUAGUCUCCUCCAAGUUCUUGAGCUGAAAGGGUAAACAAGUAUGAAAUAUGGUUUCCAAAAGUUUGAUGAUUCAACCAAAAAUAUUAAACAUGUAUGGGCUAUACUACAUAAAGGGAAGAUCAAUAAUCAUAGUCACACAAAAUGUAACGCAAAAUGAUACAAGUUUAAGUUGGAGUCUUAACGCACAUUUCUCUGCUGGGAUGCCAAAUAAGCUUCCGGCAAGGGGAAUGGAUUAUCUUUUGUGGACCCAGAUUGCUGCCCUUCAAACCAGUUCGGAAUCUGUGACCAUAAGAGACGUAGAUAUUAGCAUCUAAAAGGAAUCCAGUGAGGAAAAAGAAUUGUUUUACCACAGAUCUUGAGCAGAUACUCCGUUAGCAAAUAAUAGAGCUCAGCUAUAGACACUUUCCAGAACUGAGGGCAUUUGGAAAAAGAAUGGGUACUAAGGGUGUGCUUGGUAUGAAGGAAAAUGUUCUCUAUGAAAAUAAGUGGGUUUUUACUCAUUUUCUUGUUUCAAUACGUAAGCAAAAAAUAUUGUCCUAAAAACAUUUAUAUAUAAUUUAGAAAAAUAUUUUACCAACAGAUCGGAAAACAUUCUCUGGAAAUUGUUUUCCUCCAUACUGAACACAUCAUAAGUGAUUGAUUAGUUAGAACUCUAAGGUCCUUGUCCCUACUUCUAUAGACAUACCAAAAAGUUAGUGAACUGAUCAGGGUCCACAGGACUAGCAGACUCUGUUUGAACUUCAGACACACCAGCAGGAUGUGACAGUGAAUCAUGUGGGUCAACGACACCAAGUGCUACAGGUGCAUCCCAUCUGUUGAUGGUUGGGUCAACACCAACUUGCUUCAGGUGUUCCUCCAGUAGCGAGUAAAAAGUAUUGUAUGGAGCCACCUGAAAAAUCAACAAAAAAAGAUGGGAGGGGGGAAGUCAAAAAUUUCCCCAGAAAAAGAAGUCGAACAUCAUAUAUAUACUGUCUAUCCAGCACGAUAAAAUCAAGAAAAUACUACUAAAUAGAAUGCACAUUAUUAGGAAAUGCAGAAUACCUUCAUUUCUUAUAUCCAAUUAACAUUAUAAAAGGAAUGUAUUACCAAGCCCUAGUCACAAAGCAAAACAUUUAGUUCAUAAUUGACAAACUAUUCUAAGAAGAAAAGAAAGCCACCAAGUGGCAAGCAAUCUUGACAGAAUAAACAUUACUACAAAGAGAAUGCACUACUUCUUAAGAAGCACGAGGUAUUUCACAGCAUAUAUUAGAUGAUGGAUACAAAUUAUAUAGCCACUGGAAAACAAUAUGCCAGUCAAUUAAGUGAUAUAAACUACACCAACAAUCCCAUUUAUCACAUGAAAAAAAGUACACCAAGAGUCCCAAAACCCAAAAGUUACAUAUCUAGCACUCAAUUGCACCAAGAGUACCAACUAAAGUUUACUUAGUAUAUCACACUUCUCAAUUGCACUGAAAAUUGUCCAUCCUAUAAACUUAGCACCCUCUUAUCUUCAUUGUGUGUAUUCAAUGAAGGGCUUUGAGAAAGAUAAAUAAGGAAAAGGGUAAAAGCUGAAUGAAUAAUUUCACUUCUAAAGCCAUAUGAGAUUGCAAUGACAUUUGAUGCAGAGUGAUAAUGGCAAACCAUGCAUGUAUGAGUCAAAUAAGGAUUUUGGAGAUCCAAGGAGUAAGCUGAACUUUUGAUCAGCAGCACAAAAGUGACAUACUUGCAAUUUAUGGUUAUCACCAACAAGAAGUGGUGUUUGGUUAACUCCCAAGAAGAAUACGCAUUCACGACAGUUGGCAAUACAAAUACGUUUAGCUGCUGCAAUCACGUGAACACGUUCACAGUGCUCAAUUCUGACAGCCUGUAAAAGAAAUUAUACAAUUAAAGGUCAAAUCAAAUAAUUAAUUUAGAGGAUCAAACAGACGAUGGUAAAUCAUUUGUAAAAUGGAUCAAUUAAUACAAAACUAGUGGCAACCUGCAGUUCAUGUGUUAUGUGGUAAACCCUGAUGUAAAUAAAAUAAUUGCUUGAGCAACUCCAUUUCAAAAAAUAGCUCAAGGAACUCUCUACUUUUUAUGCCAUUAUAUUUUGAAAUCAAAAUAGUCUUUCUAGUGGCAGUAGAAAGCAGCAAAUAUCAGUUUCAUAAAGCAUAAGUUUCUUCCUUAUCAUCUUCGGAGUCCAUGCAAAUAUUGGUCACCUUUUUGUGUUCAGCAUUUAAGCCAUAACUAUAGAAGAAAAUCAUUAUCAAUUAUUCCACCAAAUGUGCCUCAGUUCUAUAUAAAUUGGAGUUGGCUAUAUGAAUCCUAUGUACUCAUUCAGCUCCUUUCAUGACCACGUUGUUUUAGUACUAAGUAAUUUGUCUUUAUAUUGCCAAGUAGCAUGAAGAGUCUAAAUACCAUCCAGAAUCACAAAGUUCAAAAUGCUUACAUAACUGUAGCUGAUGCCAGCACAGCCUAAGUGAAAUUUUCAAAUCAAACAGCCCCAACAGGAUCAAAUCUUAGAUAAAACCAAAUUUCAGAUACAAAUAAGCUCAACCUUUAACAGUAAUGAUUUUCCUACAAAAGAUAUUGUUUCCCCAUCUCCCGACAAUUCAGAUUUUCAAGUUCAGAAGCCUGCAAAUCUUUGCCUCCAAGUACAUGAGAUGAAUAAUGUGCAAAUGCUAGAUUAUGUAUGUUUUGAAGAUGGCAUUUGGCCAAACAUGUACCUUUAACUAGAUUGUGCCUUGAAAUUGCUAAACAGCAAAGCCCCAUACUAAGGUACAGUGCAGGCUGUUUUUGAGAAGCAAAGAAAUAAGAACACAUUUCAUUCAUAUAUAGUACAUGAGACAUCUACAAUAAGUAACAGGUAAUGUGGAAUUAAAUUUACGUCAUACUAGAAUUUCUACAAUUUCAUUACUAACCGACCCUUGAGAAGAAACAAGCAAAAUCUUCCUAAAGGUUAGUACCUACCUUGCCUACAGCUCCCAGGACAAUAGUUGCAUCAGAGCAUCCAUAUACUGUCGCAUAUUUCAAAGGAGCUAAAAUAUAAAUGACUGAUUCAUGGCAAUUGAUAACCUGCCAAAAAGAAAAAGGAUUCAAUAUCAAGAAUCCUGUAGGAAGUUUGUUUCACCAAAUUUAAAUCUGUCCGGCCAAUAAUUUGUCGGGGCACACGGUAAAUCAAAACAAAUCGAAAGAACAAAUCUCAUUCAUUAAUACCACUUCUAAAAGAAAAGUGAAUUCUAACAGUGCAAAAUCAUCUCAUGCAUAAUCCAAAAUUCUAAGCGCCCAACUUUAAGGACUUGAAAAGCUCUUGGAAGUUGAGAGUAUUAAGAUAUUCAAAGACAUAAACAUCUCAGCAUGCUACAGAAAAGGUGCAAACAAACUGAUCAACAAGUUGCAAGUAAUGGACAUGUCCUUCUUCCAAACAAGACUAGCUUUCAAUUAGACACUAUAGAGAACCUUAUUCUGACCACUUAUCCAAUAUUGCUUCCUUUCAUUUUCACAUUCUUCUGGAAUACUCUUUAAUCGUAGUCUCAGACACUCUCGAGAACUCGCCUAUACUAUGAGUCUAUGACGAACAAAUUUCUAGAGUCCUUGACUCUCCUUGACCAAAUGUGUGAUUCUGCUUUAAAGCUGUCAGUAAAUAUAUAAAGGAACGGUCAGAAUUCAAGAGAUUUGGUUGUUCACAUCAAUAGGUUAGAGACUAAACAGACACAACACAGAGGCAAUAAUAAAACCACAUAAGUUCAUAAAAUCCUCUUUAACGAAUUCUGCAAGAGACGAGGUUUCACAAAAGAUGAUGCAACGUGAUAAAUUCUCCUUGCUAAUAACUUUAAAGCCUUACCACUUAUUAAAAAAAGUUAACCUAAAAUCUUACCAUCUUGACUCCCAUUAUUAAUGAAACUACACUUUAAUUGAUCAAAAAUGUCUUACCAUCUCGACAUAUAUAGCAUAGCCAAUGUCAAUAUGGUAACUCUAUGAUUUAAGUGAGUUGGAACAGACAUAAUACUGCUAUAACCGUCUAAAUCGUAUUAUAUCAACAGUUUUGCAUAAAAAGAUGCUCCAUUCAUAGAUUUGCAUCCUUCCUAUAUAAAUAAAAUUAUGACCAUAAAAACUCCUCAACACGAUCGCAAAGAACCUAAGUUGAGUUUGAAAGUCAGUUUCCACAAUAAACAGUUUUGCAUGUAAAGACACUCCAUUCAAAAAUUUGUAGAAUUACAUUCCUUUCUAUAUAUAUAAAAUUAUGACCAUAAAAACUCCACACGAUCAUAAGAACCUAAGUUGAGUUUAAAAAUCAGUUGGGACAAUUAUGUAGUGAUAUUUGCCCACCACUUACCAGAGUUUAGAUGAGCACUUAUUAAACUGAGAUAAAACUACAAUAAAAUGGUUAGAAUUCCAAAAGAGUAAAGGCAUUAAAAGAAGUUUGACCACAUUGUCAACCUCUGAAAUAAUUUGGCACAGAGUGAGUUUCAUAACAUAAAAAGAAGCCUGCCUAUACACAACAUGUAAAACUUUUCUUCUUCAUUUUUAAAACCUUCUCGUGUACUACUUCAUUGUCCUUUAUGCUAUGGUGUAUUUCGUACUCAUUUGGAAUACACGAAUCAUGUACAAAUUACUCACUAUCGUUCGAGCAAAAUACCAUCCUACGUUCUCCUAUAUAUACAUCCAAUACUUUUUUGCCGGGAAAUCCGCCAUCAGCUCAGCAUGCAAGCUCACAAAGAAAUGAUAGUGUUGUUAUUGUAACACCUCCCAGAUUUAAGCUCAAAGGACAUGUAAGGCUACACCAACAUGAAAUAAAUCUGGGAGGUGUUUCAAUAACAAUGCUAUCAUUUCUUUGUGAACUCGCAUGUUGUGGGGCCGCAAGUUGAUCUCAUGGCCGAUUUCUCGGAAAAAAAGCACCGAAUGCAUAUACAAGAGAAUGUAGGAUGGCAUAUUGCUCGGACGAUAAUGGGUGAGUAAUUUGUACAUGAUUCGUGAAUUCCAAAUGAGUAUGAAAUAUUUCAUAGCAUAAAAGGCAAUGAAGUAGUACAGGAGAAGGUAUUAAAUAUGAAGGAGAGAAGUUUGCAUUAUGCAUAUUGUAUGAAAUGGUAAUUUUAUUCUCUGGAGUAAGAAAUGAUAGCCAGAAGUAUCAACUAUUCAAUAUAACUAUGUAAAAUGUGAAGAUAAUUUAUAGGUUGCUAAUGGUAUAACCUCCCCCUUCAUUUAUAGCCAAGUCUAAUUGUAUUUAUGAAAUUGUACACCUAAAUUCCUUCCACGAGCUAUUAGAUCUGCCUCAUCCCCUUUUAGCAUCUUCACUCACCAUGGUUUCACACCUAUUAACAGUACAUUGAGGUCGGCGCAGGAUAUGAUCAAACCAUUUCAAGCGACCUUCUCUCAUUUUAUCCUCAAUAUGUAAUACUUGCACCUUCUGGUGAAUGUCAUCAUUAUUUAUCUCAUCUUUUAUUGUUUGACCAAACAUCCAUCUUAGCAUCGCAUCUCGACAACACUCAUCCAGUGGAUAUGGUGUACUAUAGUGGCCCAACAUUCAUACCAUAUAACAAUUCAGCCCUAAUAACUGUUUUACCAAACUUACUUUUCACUUUGGUAGACAUCUAUCUAUCCCAUAACACCCCAGUAGCACCUCAUUUCACCCAUCCAAUUUUAAUUCUAUCAGCAACAUCUUUAUAUAUCAUUCCCUUUUCCGUGGAACAACGAGCCUAAAUAUCUGGAUUGUUUGUACUUAGGCACAACAAUCAUGUCUAGUCUCACCUCAACUUCACUCUUCUCAUGUUGACUAAACUUGUAGUACAUAUUUUCAGUCUUAACAUCUACUUAUCCUAAAUUCGUUUCCCAUAUAUCACAUGUCAAAUAUCUGAAUUACCACAUAGGGGGCUUUAAGUGAGCAACCAUUGUUUUCUCCAUACAUAGUUCCACCAUACUUCAAGUCAAAUUCAGAUUUAGAAGCUAUUUAUAAUAUAUUGCUAUUUUAACAUCCAGUGCCAGCGACCUAUGUUUUAUUGUCCCACUAAAUAUCGUAUAAAUGUUAAAUAUGCUUCAGGUAUUUUACAAAACUGGAUCUUACGUUCAGGAUUCAACAAGUUCAACAGUUUCUGCUUUAUCCACACACGCACAAAAAAAAAAAAAAAGCAAGUUAUGUUUUCAGCCUACUCAUUACACUGCACACUCCAAAUUACAGAGCAGUAGCUUCUGAGGAUGGUGUAUCUAUUGAUGGUUCUACACUGCAAUCAUAUCAAAUAACGAGUUACUAGUUGUCAAUAACUUCACAAUGGGUGCAACAGCAUGCUAACUAUUUCUAGGGAGAACACUGUUCAGACUCUACCAAACCGUGAGCAAGUUUAUUCUAGUACAAUUUAAAGACUACAGAAAACGUAUUACAGUCAAAUGACCUAAAGGAGCACACCCAGCAUAAGCCCAUUCCUGCAGACCCCUUCCAACUGAUGUCAUUAAGAUCUUGUAGAACACUAAGAAAGCUUAGCACACACAACGCCAAUGGGACCCUCCAAUAAGUCUAUUGGAGGCUCUGUAUUGAUGGAAUCUCAUCAUCCAUACAUAACGAAUUCCCGGUCUCCUUUCGAAGGAGAGAUCUUCACAUUCCUAAUCCGAUCAGAUUGGAUGGCUUGAAAAAAGACCCAUUUACAAAAGCUCCAUAGAAUCCUAAGAUGAAUCAUUCAACUCACAUUUCCCAGAAAAAGAACACACAUCACAAAGUUGGAAGUUACCUUUACAGAGGAGCCUUUAAUAUCAUUUGGCAGCCUUACAUAUGAUGAUUUAGAAAUUCCUUCAAUGGAACUUGGACCUCUAGGACCUGGUGAACUCUUAACUGAACUUGCAGCGACAUCAGCCAUUGGCACAUCCUGAUCAGAGGCACUAGUUGGUCCAUUUUCCUUUGCUGAAGCCCUCUCGGUUAUUCGUGUCAAAGCAGAGGCUAUAUUUUCUACAAGCCAGUCAUGUACUUGAGCUGCAGGAACAGGAACAGCAGGCAUCUCUGGAUCUGAAUUGGCAAAAAAUGGGGCAUUCUGACUCAAUGGGAUUCUCUCAGAUCCCUUUUCACCAAAAUAGAUUAGGAAGCCAAGAUGCUCCAAUUUCUCCAUAGACAAGACCUAUGUGUCAAGCAACUAGAUUAGCUUCUCAGCAUACCUUUUAAGCCAAAACUGUAUGAAAACAAACAACGGCACAAAAUGGAUGCAUAUAGAGGGUCUGUCAUUAGGCAUCCUCAUUAGUCAAGUAGCAAGUGUUCUAGCACGUUUCAGUUUCUUGUGCACUAUCUUAGUACAUUUGUGUGAGUAAAAUUUUUAUUUGCAAAAAGAAUACCUAUUGAGUAGCAUGUCUCGUGAAGUUCACACAAAUCAAAUUUGACUAAAUUUGGUAGGCAACUAUCCUAAACAUAUAAAACAACAACAAUGGAAGUAUAGCACAGUAUUGAAUCCACAAACCAGUGAUUCUUCACCAUCUCCUUCCACUGACUCUGCCAAAAGAGACAGAAUGUUUCCCAAGUGUUUCUGUAAGUAGGAUAAUUGAUGAGCCUCUUCAUCAGCCUGAGAUGGCAUAGACCGACGACUAUUGCUGCGCACAAGCUGCAAUUUCAAAACAAAUCUUUUGGAUAAUACAUUACAGAAGAACAUGAGAAAUUGACAAUUAAAUUAUAAUCCAUUAACAGCAACAAACAACACAUGCUCAGUGAAAUUGUUAAAACUGAAACUAAUUGUCAGUGACGAAUAGUUAAUUGAGAUUCAACAUAAUAAAUCUUGAUUUCAACAAACCAUGACCUGUGAAAAAUUGCUGAACCAGUAAGAUCGAAAAACUUUUAUUGAUCAGACAGUUCCAGUUUUUUUCCAAAAUAAAAAAGGAAAAAGAGGUGUCAAAAAGUAUGUACAAAAUUUCUAGUCAUCCUCGAGCUCAAGCUCGAUCAGCUAUCAACACAAUAAGGUUAUACCAAAAAGACAAAUGAAAGAUCUUUAAAUGCUUUCUACAUCAUUCUUUUCUUUUCUUUUUUGAACAGGUAACGCAACUUUCUACAUCAUUCUCACUAUUCUGAAACAAUUUACCAUUUCUUUCGUCCAACAAAACCAAAAUUCAGCCUUCCAACUUUCAUAUGCCUUUAACUGUUAAUGGAGCGAUUCCACUGCCACAAGGCUCCAGUCCGAGUGGCUCAGGUAAAGGGAAUUGUAGACAGCCUUACCUCCUCAUUCGAGAGAUUGGUGCCUUGGAAUUCUGGUCACCCUAAAUGCAGAGGGCUUCUCCAUUGCUCCAAGGCCAGCCUUCAUACAUUUGACUCUUAUGGUUACUUAUAAUCUUUGAUUAAGAUAACUAAUUACCAUCUUGGAGCCCCAAAAAAUACCAUCAGAUUUUAGAAGUAUUACUUAUAAAUUAUUACAUUAUACAGUAUUCUGAUAAUUGAUUAUAAUACAGAAGCUAUUUUCACCUAAAUUCUCAUCAUACUCUGCACUUGUAGAAAUAAAAAAGAUAAAAGUUUUCUAGAUAGCAUCAUGGAAAAGGUAAUACUUUGAUUAGAUAAAUAAGAUGACAAGAUCUUAAAACCAAUAACAGAGAGACAGGAGGGGCUUGUCAAAAGGAAAAAUAAAAGAAGGAUUAGUAAACUAAACACUAUUAAGAUCUGUAAUGGACUCGAUAAUAGACAAAUAAUGCAGUUGAAAUACUUUGGUUAAUCCAAGUUCAUCUGGUCCCUGCUUCUGAACUAAAAGUUAAAGAUUCAACUGCUAGAACAUUCUCGUCCUUAAAACUAAGCACCAUGUCGAUCAGUUCUAAAGAUAGCUGAAGAAGAAACAGUGAUUUUAUCACACAAAUGAACCAGGCUUUGGAAUCAAAUAUUCAAAGUGCCUCCAGAAACUACUCAAAUAAUACACUGGAGGAGCAUGGGAGGUAAUUCAAUGAAUUACUAGCAUACAUUAUUGCACAGCUUCAAAGUUACCAUCACAAAACAAGGAAUAAUGAACUAAUAUAAUGCCUUUUCCUGAUAAAGCAACCUCCAUCGGAAGUUAGAAUCAAAAGACCACAAACUUAUACAACUGAACUUGGCACCAGGCAUAGAAACUUCAUUCUCGAAUUCCGACUCAACCCGGUAAAACAAUUCAAUUCCAGCUUCAUUACAUGUUUAAAACCUACUUAUUAAAGAAAGCAUCUUUAAGAACAAAAGAGUAUCCAAUAACUAAUUAUCACCUAAAACACUAAAAUACAAAUGAUAAAUCCAUUCACUUCCCAAUUCGAAUAUACAGUUUCAUAAAAUAGAAUCGGAUUUACAAAACACAGAUGCCUAACCUGCAACGGCGAAAGAGCCGAUAAGAAACCGUCGAAUGCAGAAGUAGAAGGCCAAACAUCAGCUACUGCAGCGGAAUCCUUAUGUCCUUUAGGAAGCAACCUUUUAUAACUUUGAAUGUACAAAAACAUCAUCAAAUCAAACACGUUUACACCAACGGAACCGAUCUCUGACGGCUUAGCAGUGACGCUGGGAUCAGAAUCGGAAUGAAGAACCGAUGCGAUUGUCUCAAUGACAAGACGAGCAUGGUCAUGAGAGAUCUGAAAUGCUUCAGCAAUUGCUUCAAAAUUAACUCGAUGAAUCGAUCCAGAUGAUAAGGAUAAGAGCUUAUCACGAAUUGGAAUAAGAGUUUGGGCUCCAUCGGUGAAGAUAAGUUUAGGGAUAGGGAGAAGUCCGUGUUCGAAAGGUUCUCUUCGCGGAUGUAUGUAAACAGGUGGAGUGGACACCGUUGACGGCGUCGAUGGCGGUGGUUGUUCGUCGGAUUCCGGCAUGGCUUUGUGAGUGAAUUGACGGAAAAUGAGGUUGAGAAAAUGGGAGAGAUCAAAUGUCAGUGAGAGAGGAAUAAUUUACCCGGUUCGGGUUCACUUACGGGCCAGAUCCAGCCUGACCCGGCCUAAUGACCAUAAAUUCUACUUCUAAUAUUUAUUAUUAAAACAAAUUAAUCAAAUUAAAGUAAAUAUUUUUUGUUUUUUUUUAAUCAUUAUAUUAAUUAAAAAGAUAAAAAUAUUUAAUGUCUCACUUGUUUGCAGUUAAUGAAGGUUUGAAAAGAGGUACAAUUCGAUUAGAUCUAAACUUUAGUCUUAAAAUCAUUCAAUGCUAUUUAUUCAACUAUUCCCUUCGUCUAAUAAUAAUUAUUCAUUAUAUUAUUUUGAGAUGUCCACUUUAUAAAAUUAAUGGACAAUUUUACAUUUAGGGUAUGUUUGGAAAGCCACUUGGUAAUUGGAAUUGGUGUAAUUACUAGGGUAGUAAUUACCAGCCUACUAAUUACACUGUCUAGUAAUUACACUGACCUGUUUGGUUGUCACAGUGUAAUUACGCUGUAAUUACACAUGUCUUGUUUGGAUGUCACAGUGUAAUUACACAUGUUCUGUUUGGAUGCACAAUUGCAAUCAUAAAAUUAUAAUAAAUUUUAAAAAUAAAAAUUAAUUAUUUAAAAUUUAUACUAGACAAAUAAGAAACUUUAUAAAUGACAUUAAAUUAAAUAUUUAAGAUAUAUAUUCUUUUUUGAAAAUAUAUUAAUUAAUAAACAUAUUUUCUGUAACUAAUAUUAUGAAAAAAUAUUUGAUUUAUAUUUUUUCAAAUUAAUAUAUUUCAAUUGAAUUGAUUGUAACAACUAAAAGUAUGAAGUUUCUACGAACAUCGUGAAAUGCAUGUUUGAUAAAAAGAAUAAUAUAUAAAUAAAAUGUCAUAAAUUAUUAAAUGUUUGACAAAAAUAUAAUUUAUCAACUCUAAUUAAAAAAAUGACGUGCAAUGUAGAUUCAAUAUUACUAAAACAAAUGAAACUGAAAAUAUAACAUAGGUUAUAAAUUCAAAACAAAAAAUUUAACAUAAUACUCGCGUAAGUCUAAAACCUUACUUAACAAUAAAUUCUAUUUUAAUUUUAAAAUUAGAAUACUAAUAAAAUUAUGUUAAUGAGAAAAUAAGCAUGGCAUAAAGAAAUAGAUAAUACAAGAAAAUUACAUAGAAUCACGUAAAGUAAGGUUAAGAACAAGAAGAAAAUGAAAUAUAAUAAUAUAAAAAAUAAACUUUUGCAAAUUUUUAGAAUAAUAAAAAUAAAAAUAAAACUUAAAAUAAUAGAAGUAAAAAAAAUUAAAAUAGAAAUAAAAAAAAAAAUUAAAAAGUAAUCAGGUGGUUGGUAAUUACACCAUGUAAUUACCAGCAAUUCACAGCCUCUGCCUGUGAAUUGUAGAGUGUAAUUACCCCCUACCAAUUACACCAACUACCUGCUGACCAAGUAAUUACAUGUCCUUCCAAACAGGACAAAACAAUGUAAUUACACCAAUUACAUCAAAUCCAAUUACCAAGGUGUCCUUCCAAACAAAUCCUUAGUUCAUAAUUUAUCCUUAUUAUUAAUUAUAAUUGUUUUCUAUUAUAUCUUUCAAGACAGUGAAUUAUUAUAGUCAAAGUGUUAUGUACAUAGUAAAAUUACUCUUCUAUUUAUAGUUUCUUAUGAAAGGUACAAAGUCAACCGUGGACAAGUAUUAAACAGGUAAAAUAUUAAAUAAAUAUUUAAACAACAAAUGAUACAAUGCUUGAUAUAAUAUAGAUACAUUAGUAGUAAUAACUAAUACAUUUUAUUAGCUUAGUGAUCUUAUCAUAUUAUAUUAAUAUUUUCAAAUAUAUUAUUGAUAUAUUAAUUUAUUAUUAACAUAUUGUUUGAACUUUAUUAUGUGAAAUUAUAUUGAUUAUGUUAUUGUUUUUCUUAUCAAAUAAUAAACUUAUUUUAUUGAACUUUUACUCUUUUAAAUAUUUAAUUAUUAUUCUAUUUGAAUUGUAUAUUUGUUAUCUUUAUAAACAAAUAAAUUAUAUUUGUUAUCUUUAUAAACAAAUAAAUUAUAUAUAUUCAGAUAUUGAAAAAAGAAUAGUUUUACAUUCGGUGUUCAAUAACAUUUUAAUUAUUUAAAUGUGCAUUUAAAUUCAGACUUGUUAAUCUAAAUAAAAACAAAUGUGGCCUAAGCGUGCUUUAUUUUAAGUCCUCACUUCAUUCGGUAUGUAAAUUAAUAAUGUUAUUUGUUGUUUCAUUGUCGUGAGUAUUUGUUCUCACAGUAAAAAAAAAUUCAGAAAAAUAAUCUAAGAGCCCCUUUGGAUUGACUUUAAAAAAACUGUUUUUAAGUUAAAAAAUAAAAAGAUAAAUUUAAAUGAUUUUAAAAUAAAAAGUAAGGAAAUGCCUACUUUUUAUUUUUAUUUUUUUUAAAGCUAUUAUAUAGUUAUUUUAAGAUAUUUUUAAUCUUGCCAAACAGUUCCAGAAUGUGACAUUAUUGGCUUUAGACUUAAUUUAAUAGUUCAUAAAAAGAAAACAUAAAUCAUACAAUCUAGCAUGGCUUGCGACCAAUUGAACAAAAUUAGCAAAAUGAAGAUAGUAUUAAUCUGAUAUGACUUGUAAAUAAUUUUAACAAAUUAAGUGUAAUAAAAAUAGCACCAUUUCAGUUACUUGUAAAUAAUUUAACAAGAUAGACUUAAAAUGAAAAUAAUAUCAAAUUAUACUUGUAUGUCAUGUUCGUGUCACAAAUUACAAUAUAUUCUAGCAUAACUUGCCACAUUUAUAUGCCUAUCAUAAGUAAAUGUUUAUGAUUAUAAAUUUUUAAAUAAAAAUAUAAUUUUAUAAUAAUUUACUAGUCAACAAUAUUAAUAUAUAACUAGUUAUUUUUUUAAUGUAAUCAUUUUAUACCGUAUGAAUAAUUUCUUCACACUAAACACAAUUUUAUCUUCUUUAUUUUUUAAAAAUAAAAUUUGUAAAGAUGAAUUUUUCUCAAAGCACUUGUAUAUGCGAUUUGAGAAGAAUUCAUCGUUACAAAUUUUAUUUUAAAAAAAUAAAGAAGAUAAAGUUGUGUUUAGUGUGAAGAAAUUAUUCAUACUAUACAAAAUGAUUACAUUAAAAAAAUAGUAACUAGUUUUAUAUANNNNNNNNNNNNNNNNNNNNNNNNNNNNNNNNNNNNNNNNNNNNNNNNNNNNNNNNNNNNNNNNNNNNNNNNNNNNNNNNNNNNNNNNNNNNNNNNNNNNNNNNNNNNNNNNNNNNNNNNNNNNNNNNNNNNNNNNNNNNNNNNNNNNNNNNNNNNNNNNNNNNNNNNNNNNNNNNNNNNNNNNNNNNNNNNNNNNNNNNNNNNNNNNNNNNNNNNNNNNNNNNNNNNNNNNNNNNNNNNNNNNNNNNNNNNNNNNNNNNNNNNNNNNNNNNNNNNNNNNNNNNNNNNNNNNNNNNNNNNNNNNNNNNNNNNNNNNNNNNNNNNNNNNNNNNNNNNNNNNNNNNNNNNNNNNNNNNNNNNNNNNNNNNNNNNNNNNNNNNNNNNNNNNNNNNNNNNNNNNNNNNNNNNNNNNNNNNNNNNNNNNNNNNNNNNNNNNNNNNNNNNNNNNNNNNNNNNNNNNNNNNNNNNNNNNNNNNNNNNNNNNNNNNNNNNNNNNNNNNNNNNNNNNNNNNNNNNNNNNNNNNNNNNNNNNNNNNNNNNNNNNNNNNNNNNNNNNNNNNNNNNNNNNNNNNNNNNNNNNNNNNNNNNNNNNNNNNNNNNNNNNNNNNNNNNNNNNNNNNNNNNNNNNNNNNNNNNNNNNNNNNNNNNNNNNNNNNNNNNNNNNNNNNNNNNNNNNNNNNNNNNNNNNNNNNNNNNNNNNNNNNNNNNNNNNNNNNNNNNNNNNNNNNNNNNNNNNNNNNNNNNNNNNNNNNNNNNNNNNNNNNNNNNNNNNNNNNNNNNNNNNNNNNNNNNNNNNNUCUAGUUUUAUAUAUAUAUAUAUAUAUAUAUAUAUAUAUAUAUAUAUAUAUUGUUAUUAAUUAUUAUUAUUAUUAAUUUUUUUUUAAUAAAACUCACACAUGCAAGCAAGUCCCAACAGUAUCCUCCACCGCGACUCGUGUCGUAUGGUCAAACAAUAUAGGAUAGAUAAGUACUACCCAAAUUGCCAAUUAAAACCAAAAAGGAGGAAGUAUCUAAUUAUAAUUAUACAUAUAUUUUUAUCGUAUUUAUUAAUUAUCUAUGAUUUGUAAUAAUUAUAUUAUAUUUAAAUUUCAAGUCAGAUAGAUGUGAAUCACACUAGAUAUACAUGUAUCUUGUGUGAUUCGUAUGUAUUUGAGAUAUCAAAUACACGAACGAAAUACGAAAGUGACAAGUGAGAUUUAUUUAUAUAUCCCAGAUAUAUAUGAACACACAGAUAAGCAUCAUAAACAUUAUACAUGUAUCUAGAAUACUAGAUAUGCAAGAUAUGAGUGUCGCGAGCGAAAUAGGAGGGAAGCAAGUGAAAUUUGUGUAUGUAUAUCAGAUGUAUGCGAAUCCACUUGGAUAUAAUAUAUGUAGAACAAACUACACCUCUUUCUAAUCUCAUAUAUCUCGAGAUACAUGUAUCUAAAUACGCCAAAAUUGCUAAAAUUCACCUUUAAUAGAAAGUUUUGAUUCAAACCCUUAGGAAAUAUCAUAUUGAGAAUGUUGUCUAAGAAAUAGUUAUGCAACGAUCGAUCUAAAAUUAAUCAAACUUUAAUAUAGAUACCGAGCAAUAAAAAAUAAAAAAAGAUGCUACCUCCACCAACCACCCUGAAACACACAGAAAAAGCAGUUGUGCCACCUGCUCUGUUUUUCUCUCAAACUGUGAUGAGUCUUUGCAGUUUUUUUAUUCGAUUUUUUUUUUCUCUAUAGUCACUAUAUACUACAUUCUCCAUCAUUUUCAUUUUAUACCAAAAGAAACCAAAAUCCCUUUUCAUUUUUCUCUUCAAAGCUCCCAGUUUUCAGAAUCUUUUCAUCGUCAGCAUCCCUGAACCCACAUGGUAUAUUCAUUUAUUUAUCAUAUAAAGUUGGGUUCUUUGUUUGUUUCUUUCUAAUAUAAAUGUGCCUUUAAAAAUUGCUGUUUUUGGGUUUUUGUUCAAUGCUUGUCUGGUUUUACUUUCAUGGUGUUUGUUAAGCUGUAAUGUAGUUGUAUUUUUCUGCAUUAAAGAUUCUAUCUUUUUGUGAGGAAGUGAAAAGGGUCUUUCUUGAUUGAGUUAGUUAGACCAUUUUCGUAUAAACUUCUUUGUUUGUAUUGUUGCUAUUGUUAUUUUGCCUUUGAUUUAAUUUGUGUGGUUUCUCAACUUUUUGUUUCUGAUUUUUGAUGUUAUGCAGGGUGAAAAGCUUUAGGUUUUUCUUGAUUUCAUCUUUUAGGCUUGCUUAAGACUGUUGUAUUAGAAGAUUGUUUAGCAUUAGAGUAGUUUGAGUUGUCUCUGCUGAGAUUUGUUGAUCUGUAGUGGAGAAGUAGUCUUGAAAAUGCAGAGACCCCCACAAGAAGAUUUUUUACUAAAGGAGACCAAACCCCACCUUGGUGGAGGGAAGGUCAUGGGUGAUAAGCUUACUAGUACCUAUGACUUGGUUGAGCAAAUGCAGUAUCUUUAUGUGAGGGUGGUGAAAGCAAAGGAUUUGCCAGGGAAGGAUGUUACGGGUAGUCUUGAUCCUUAUGUUGAGGUUAGGCUUGGAAACUAUAAGGGUACAACUCGUCAUUUCGAGAAGAAAUCGAAUCCGGAAUGGAGUCAGGUGUUUGCUUUUUCCAAGGAUAGGAUUCAGGCUUCUGUACUUGAGGUGAAUGUGAAAGAUAAGGAUUUUAUUAAGGAUGAUUUUGUUGGUUGUGUUAUGUUUGAUUUGAAUGAUAUCCCUAAAAGGGUUCCCCCGGAUAGUCCUCUUGCUCCACAGUGGUAUAGGUUGGAGGAUAGACAUGGUAAUAAAGUUAAAGGAGAGUUGAUGUUGGCUGUUUGGAUGGGUACUCAAGCUGAUGAAGCCUUUCCUGAAUCUUGGCAUUCAGAUUCUGCAGCUGUUACUGGUGCCGAUGCUCUUGCAACUAUAAGGUCUAAGGUGUACCUCUCACCAAAGCUGUGGUACCUUAGAGUUAAUGUGAUUGAGGCUCAGGACUUGAUUCCCGGUGACAGAAGUAGGUUUCCAGAAGUUUACGUGAAGGCCAUCCUCGGAAAUCAGGCAUUGAGAACCAGAGUUUCCAUGAGCAAGACUAUUAAUCCCAUGUGGAAUGAGGAUCUGAUGUUUGUAGCAGCAGAACCAUUUGAGGAGCCAUUGAUUUUGAGUGUAGAAGAUAGAGUUGCACCAAACAAGGAUGAAGUACUUGGAAGAUGUGCUAUUCCUUUGCAAUAUAUAGAUAGGAGGUUGGACCACAGACCUAUUAAUAGUAAGUGGUAUAAUCUUGAAAAGCACAUUAUCGUCGAGGGAGAAAAGAAGGAAAUCAAAUUUGCAAGCAGGAUUCACAUGAGGCUGUAUUUGGAAGGAGGCUACCACGUGCUGGAUGAAUCAACACACUACAGCAGUGAUCUAAGACCAACUGCAAAGCAAUUGUGGAAGUCCAGUAUUGGUGUCCUAGAGUUGGGUAUACUAAAUGCUCACGGCAUUUCGCCGAUGAAAACAAAAGAUGGACGGGCUACAACAGAUGCCUAUUGUGUUGCCAAGUAUGGGCAGAAGUGGGUUAGAACAAGGACAAUUAUUGAUAGCUUUGCUCCCAAGUGGAACGAACAAUACACUUGGGAAGUAUUUGAUCCCUGCACUGUCAUAAAUAUUGGUGUUUUUGAUAAUUGCCAUCUGCAAGGAGGAGAUAAGUCUGGUGGGGCUAAGGACUCGAGGAUUGGGAAGGUCAGGAUCCGUCUUUCAACUCUAGAAACGGGUUGUGUCUACACGCAUUCUUAUCCACUUCUGGUUUUGCAUCCUACUGGGGUGAAGAAGAUGGGUGAAAUUCACUUGGCUGUAAGAUUUACUUGCUCAUCAUUAUUGAAUAUGAUGCAUAUGUACUCUCAGCCACUGCUGCCCAAAAUGCACUAUAUUUAUCCUUUAACUGUUAGUCAGCUGGACAACUUGAGGCAUCAAGCCACUCAGAUUGUCUCUAUGAGGCUGAGUCGUGCUGAGCCGCCUUUGAGGAAAGAGAUAGUGGAGUAUAUGUUAGAUGUCGGUUCUCACAUGUGGAGUAUGAGGAGAAGCAAAGCUAACAUUUUUAGAAUCAUGGGUGUUUUAGGUGGAUUAAUUGCUAUUGGGAAAUGGUUUGAUCAAAUUUGCAAUUGGAAAAAUCCCAUUACGACUGUUCUGAUCCAUAUCUUGUUCUUGAUACUAGUUCUAUAUCCGGAGCUUAUUCUGCCAACCAUUUUCCUCUAUCUCUUCUUAAUCGGAGUUUGGUACUACAGAUGGAGGCCUAGACAUCCUCCCCACAUGGACACACGUCUUUCUUGUGCUGAUAAUGCCCAUCCUGAUGAAUUAGACGAAGAGUUUGAUACUUUUCCUACUUCACGUCCUCCUGAUAUUGUUCGGAUGAGGUAUGACCGUAUGAGAAGUAUUGCUGGAAGGAUACAGACUGUGGUUGGUGACUUGGCUACUCAAGGGGAGAGGCUGCAGUCUUUGUUGAGCUGGAGAGACCCUAGAGCAACCGCGCUGUUUGUUAUUUUCUGCUUGAUUGCUGCCAUUGCGCUGUAUGUCACGCCCUUCCAAGUUGUGGCUCUCGUGACUGGAUUUUACGUGCUGAGACAUCCGCGAUUUCGCCAUAAGCUACCAUCUACUCCAGUGAAUUUCUUCAGAAGAUUGCCUGCCAGAACAGACUGUAUGCUAUGAGCUGUACUGUUAGUUGCUGCUAUCCAUUUUCCCUUUGUCUCUUAGUUGAUGAAAUUGAUGUAGAAAUGAGCAAGGCUUUGGGUUUUUUUCUUCUAUGAAACUGCUUAGAUGUAGUGAAUUUUCUGUUGAAAGUUGGCUGUUAGAUGCAAUUCCAUAUUACUAGUACUAAUCUUCUGUUUCUUUCUUUUUCUGAACUUUCUCAAUGAUUAAUCAAUGUAUUGCUCUUUUCAUUAGUCAUAAAUUUGUUGUUUUUUUGAAGUGUACAAUAAUAACAUUCCCGUGUAAUUUCACAAGUGGGGUCUGGGGAAAAUAGUGUGUACACAGACUUUACUCUUACAUUGUGAAGAUAAAGAAGUUGUUUCUGAUAGACCUCCGUUGGCUUAAGUAAAGCAUAUCAAAGCAGGUUCGAAAAAGAAAUACACUAAUGUAGAAGCCAUGUUGAAAAUAAAAGGAAAAAAUAGUAACAACAACAAAUAAUAUGACAGUAGAAGCAAAAAGAACAAUAUGUAACAAUCAAAUCGAAGAAAAAGAUAGGAGGAGAGUAAUAAUAAUAAUAGUGAAAAGGAAAAUUAGAUACCGUUUGACUACCUAUUAGCUUCUUUUGUGAAGAUUAAUACUUUCUUAGGGUAGGUGAAAGGACAUGUUGAUAUUUUAUGAGUUCUCAUUAUUUUACUAGAUUUGGUGUUGAGAAUGUCAAGACAUUGAUGUUUUAGAUUUGUAAUAUAUUAAUUAUUGUAUCAUUAUUAAUUUAAUGAGGAAUAAUUGUGUUUACCAUUGUAGUAUAAUACAAGUUGGUGAUAUUUGUAUAAUACAACUUGAUAACAAAACAAUAUAGAGAUUCCUGCAACCUUUUGUGAUGCUUUAUAUGAUGUUGGAUCUGGAAUAUUAGUAUAAUAAUAAUAGUACCUAUCAAAGCAAAUAACUUAUUGUAAAAAGUAAAAGGAAAAAAAUACAUUUUUUUAUAUAUCAACUCUACCUUUAAUCUUGGAACAAUGGUAAAUGUCUUCAUAUAAAUUACAAGUCACAAAUUCAAAUUGUGAAAUCGACAAUGAUAUUUACAUCAAGAUAGACUGCCUACAAUCACACUCCUUAGGAAUGCAACCAUUUCUCAAAUCCAACGUGAAUGCGGAAGACUUAGCAUAUUAAAGAAUAAUCGUGAUGUUAAGACAAACUUGUCCCCUAUUUAAUUAUUCCGCCAAGUACUUACAUUUUCCAUCGGGUAAUUUUUUCCACCAAUAUUUAAGUAGGUAGGAAGAAAUCGCCUAAUAUUUACCCGCAUCACUAGAGUUAUCAUUUACAUACAACAAUUUUAAAUGAGAGAAAUUCAAAGUUAGUGUAUCCAAAGAACAAAAGAUACAAUUCAAAACCUUUGGAACUUGAAAUGUUGCUUUAUUUGAGUAAAAGAUCUAUUGAAAACAACCUCUCUACCUUCACAAUAUACGAAAAAGAAUGCAUAUAAACUCCACUUGUGCGAAAACAACUUCUCUACCUUCACGAUUACGGAAAAGAAUGCGUAUAGACUCCACUUGUGCGAUCAUCCGAGUAUUUUCUUAUUUUACCUUUACCAACUUCCCCAUUUAUAGGGUUGUGUAGGUGCACUAAUUUUCCAGAUCCAACAGCAUUAUAAAGAAAUAAAAAAACAUAGUUGCAGGAUCUUUAUAUUGUUGUCUUCAUAAACAGACAAACAUCACCAGUUUAAAUAAUGUCAACUUGCAAUAUACAAACAAUGCUAAGUACAAUAAUUCUCUCUUUACAUUAAAUAUUUGUAGAAACAUCAUUGUCAGACAUUCCAAAAACACAAAAAAUGCUUCAUCCUUAAGGAAAACAAAUUUAUCAAGAAAUCAAACUGAUCUUGAAUGCUUGCACCUCCAUUCCGAUAACAACACGAGUAGGGUCUGAAGAGGAUGGUGUAUACGCAUACCUUACUCCUACCUUGAGAAGAUAGAGAAGUUGUUUUCGAUAAACCCUCAACUCAAGUAAAGCAUUUCAAAGCAGGUAUGCAUGGGAAUACAGUAGCGAAGAUGCAUCCAAUAUCAAGUCAAUAAAAAUCGAAACAGUAACUUGAAUAAAGAGAGUACUUCGAAUUAAUCAUGGAGCAUGUUUUUCAAAAAGAAAACAUCCACAAGACAACAAAUAUAGAUUUGCAUCAAAGCAGCAAACUUUCAACAAACUUAGAAUGAAUUAAACAGUAAAUCUACUAGAUCUAAACAGUUCAAGGAGAUCUUACACACAAAAGCAGGACCCAACAUUCACCAGUAGGUGCAGGACAAAAAGAGCCAGACACAUUUACAUCAAUUCGAGACACAGAGAGAAGCACAUAGUAUGAUAAAGAUAACAUAAGGCAAAGGUACGGUUCUCAUAGCAUACAGUCUGUUCUUGCGGGCAGUCUUCUGAAGAAAUUAAGUGGCGCAGAUGGUAGCUUGUGACGAAACCUUGGAUGUCUCAGUACAUAAAAUCCUGACAAGAGUGCCACAACUUGGAAGGGUGUCACGUAGAGCACAAUGGCAGCAAUCAAGCAGAAAAGGACAAACAGCGCGGUUGCUCUAGGGUCUCUCCAGCUCAACAAAGACUGCAGCCUCUCCCCUUGAGUAGCCAAAUCACCAACCACAGUCUGAAUCCUUCCAGCAAUACUUCUCAAACGGUCAUACCUCAUCCGAACAAUAUCAGGAGGACGUGGAGUAGGGAAAGUAUCAAAUUCCUCAUCCAGUUCGUCAGGAUUAGCAUUAUCAGCACAAGAAAGACGAGUAUCCAUGUGAGGAGGAUGCCUAGGCCUCCAUCUGUAGUACCAAACUCCAAUUAGGAAGAGAUAAAGGAAAAUGGUUGGCAGAAUAAGCUCCGGAUAUAGAACCAGUAUCAAGAACAAGAUAUGGAUCAGAACAGUUGUGAUGGGAUUUUUCCAAUUGCAUAUUUGAUCAAACCAUCUUCCAAUAGCUAUUAAUCCACCUAAAACACCCAUAAUCCUAAAAAAAUUAGCUUUGCUUCUCCUCAUACUCCACAUGUGAGAACCAACAUCUAACAUAUACUCCACUAUUUCUUUCCUCAAAGGUGGCUCAGCACGACUCAGCCUCAUAGAGACAAUCUGAGUGGCCUGAUGUCUCAAGCUGUCAAGCUGAGUAACAGUUAAAGGAUGAAUAUAGUGCAUUUUGGGUAACAGCGGCUGAGAGUACAUAUGCAUCAUAUUCAUUAACGAUGAGCAAGUAAAUCUUACUGCCAAGUGAAUUUCACCCAUCUUCUUUACCCCAGUAGGAUGCAAGACCAGUAGCGGAUAAGAAUGUGUGUAAACACGAUCUGUUUCGAGAGUUGAAAGACGGAUCCUGACCUUUCCAAUCCUCGAGUCCCUAGCCCCUCCAGGUUUAUCUCCUCCAUGCAGAUGACAAUUAUCAAAUACACCAAUAGUUAUGACAGUGCAAGGAUCAAAUACUUCCCAAGUGUAUUGCUCAUUCCACUUGGGAGCAAAGCUAUCUAUAAUGGUCCUCGUUCGGAUCCACUUCUGCCCAUAUUUAGCAACACAAUAGGCAUCUGUCGUUGCCCGAUUAUCCUUUGUUUUCAUCGGCGAAAGGCCCUGAGCAUUCAGAAUACCUAAUUCUAGGACACCUAUACUGGACUUCCACAGCUGCUUUGCAGUUGGUCUAAGAUCACUGCUGUAGUGUGUUGAUUCAUCCAGCACAUGGUACCCUCCUUCCAAAUAUAGCCUCAUGUGAAUCCUGCUUGCGAAUUUGAUUUCCUUCUUCUUUUCUCCCUCAACGAUAAUGUGCUUUUCAAGAUUAUACCACUUACUGUUAAUAGGUCUGUGGUCCAACCUCCUUUCAAUGUACUGCAAAGGAAUAGCACAUCUUCCAAGUACAUCAUCAUUGUUUGGUGCAACUCUAUCUUCCACACUCAAAAUUAAUGGCUCCUCGAAUGGUUCUGCUGCUACAAACAUCAGAUCCUCAUUCCACAUGGGAUUAAUAGUCUUGCUCAUGGAAACUCUAGUUCUCAAUGCCUGAUUUCCCAGGAUGGCCUUCACGUAAACCUCUGGAAACCUACUUCUGUCACCAGGAAUCAAGUCCUGAGCCUCAAUCACAUUAACUCUAAGGUACCACAGCUUUGGUGAGAGGUACACCUUAGAUCUUAUAUUUGCAAGAGCGUCAGCACCACUAACAGUAGCUGCAUCCGAAUGCCAAGAUUCAGGAAACGCUUCAUCAGCUUGAGUACCCAUCCAAACAGCCAACAUCAACUCUCCUUUCACUUUGUUACCACUUCUAUCCUCCAACCUAUACCACUGCGGAGCAAGAGGACUAUCCGGGGGAACUCUUUUAGGGAUAUCAUUCAAAUCAAACAUAACACGACCAACAAAAUCAUCCUUAAUAAAAUCCUUAUCUUUCACAUUCACCUCCAGCACAGAAGCCUGAAUCCGCUCCUUGGAAAAAGCAAACACCUGAUUCCAUUCAGGAUUCGAUUUCUUCUCGAAAUGACGAGUUGUACCCCGAUAGUUUCCCAGCCUAACCUCAACAUAAGGAUCAAGACUACCCGUAACAUCCUUCGCUGGUAAAUCCUUUGCUUUCACCACCCGGACAUAAAGAUACUGCAUUUGCUCAACCAAGUCAUAGGUACUAGUAAGCUUAUCACCCAUGACCUUCCCUCCACCAAGGUGGGGUUUGGUCUCCUUUAGUAAAGUCAUAGGUGCUAGUAAGCUUAUCACCCGUGACCUUCCCUCCACCAAGGUGGGGUUUGGUCUCCUUUAGUGAAAAAUCUUCUUGAGGUGGUCUCUGCAUUUUCGAACCUUUCUACUUCUCCACCACAAUUAAGCCAAAUGUCCUAAAUUAUAUCUCUGAGAAACAACUCAAAAUUACACUAAUACUCAAGAAACUUCAUAUACAACACAAUCUAAGUUUGUUUUACCCUAAUUCUAACUUAAGGUUUAAAAAGAACCUCAUGAAGGAUAACCCCAAAACUCCCAAAAUCAUUCACAACCUCAGAUCUGGUUCACCUGAAUGCUUAACCCUGCAAAACCCACUUUUAUAUAUGAAAAACUAAGCUUAAAAAUCAUAUAAAUAAAUUUAAAAAAUAUCAACAAACUCAAUAAAAAAAAUAUCCUUCUCCCUUACCCAUAAAAAAAAAGAGGAAAAAAAUAAUUAAAUCUUCUAAUAUCAAGAUUACAACAAUAUUACAGCUCAACAACUACCAAGAAUGUAAAAAAAAUGAAUUUUUCAAGAAGACAUUUAUUAAACUUUUCAACAUGAAAUAAAAAAUGUUCAGAAAGAGAAAUGAAUAUACCUUGAAGGGUUCGUGGGAGAUGAGAGUGAAAGAUGGGAAUUUUGCUGAUAAGGUUGUAAAGAUUGGAAUUUUGAGGAGAAAAAGCAAAAGGGGUUUGGUUGCUUUUGGGUAUCAAAGUGAUGGAGAAUGGUAUAGUGAGGUGUAGAUGGAAAAAGUGAAGAGACAACAACAAGGGUAAAGAAAUAUAGAGAGAGAAAAGAAUAAAGUUAGAGAGAGAAAAGAAUAGAAAAAGACAGAGCAGGGUGGUGGGGGUGA